CCCGAACCCGAGCGGUGCUUUGGGAAGAAUCGUUCCUCAUGUCGCCGCCGUCGGAUUGAUCCGAUUUGUGCGCGAUUUGGUCAGUAAUCUCACUAAUCCUGGAUUAGUUGGCUAAUUAUGCUUAAGGUUGGUUUAGAUUUAAUUAAUUAUGUUUAGAUUGUUAGAUUAGAAUAAAUUAGCGAUUAUUAGUCAAUUGUGAUGCGAUUUAGAUAAAUUGAUUGUGUAAUUAGCAAGUAGACGUGGUCUACUAAUUAUUGGAAGUGCCUCGGGAUUUUUCCCGACCCUUAGUGGGCUCCAAUUAGGCUUUUCGGGCCUAAGUGGAUUUUUUUGUAUUUAAAUAUUAAUUUACGGAAUUAAAUUAAAUAAUUAUUUAUUUUCUGAAAAUUCAACUGAGAUGGCCCGAGACCGGAAUAUUGUGCUGAUGACUGUGGUGAAGUCUGUUUAUUUAAUCGGGCUUUAAUUUGAGCUAAAUGGGAUUUUUAAUAUUAAUUAUUUAAUAUUCGAAAUUAAUUAAAUAAUUAUUUAUUUUUCGAAAAUUCAACUGAGAUGGCCUGGAACCGGAAAAUUAUGCUGAUGACCGUGGUGAAGUCCGUUUAUUUAAUCGGGCUUUAUUUUGUACUAAAUUGAAUUUUUAAUAUUUAUUAAUUAAUUACCCUAAAUUGAUUGGAAUUGAUUGUGAUGAAUUGUGAUCGGUAAAUGGCCAAGUAUGUUAUUCAGCAUUUAUAAUGUUUUGUUGACUUGAUUUAAUUAUUUGAUUGAGAAAUCGUUGGGCAUUGGUUGUCGAUAUUGAAAGUAAAUUGGUAACCACUGCAAAGAGGACACGUGGGCUUGGUGAAUUGGAAUGUCACCUGGAGAAUGCACGUGAGUUCAGUGGUUGAAUAUGUCACCUUGGCGAAAAGGUCGCCUGAGAGAAUGCACGUGGCUCGGAGACUCGGUAUGUCGUCCUGGAGAAUGCACGUGGCUCGGUGACAGGAUUUGGCAUCUAAAAGGACACAUGGCUCGGUGAUCUGAUGCGUCACUUUGGUAAGCGAGUACCUUAGAGAAUGCACGUGGGUCCAGCAUUUCGGAAUGGCAUCUAAAAGGGCACGUGGCUCGAUGAAUUGAUGCAUUACCUUGGUGAGAUAGCACCUUAGAGAAUGCACGUGGGCCCGGGCAUCGUAAAAAGGACACGUGGCUCGGUGGCUUGAUGUACCACCUUGGCGAAGAGGUCGCCUUAGAGAAUGCACGUGGGUCCGAGGUUUGAGGCACGUGGACUCGGAGACUUGGAAGGUCAUCCUGGAGAAUGCACGUGGCCUAGCUUUUAAAUAUCCCACAGUGGGGAUUGAUUUGUUUGACAUGUAAUCGACUAGGUCGAUGCUUUGAUUUGAUAUUGUGAAUUGACCGACUGAAUGGAAAUGACCGUGAGUGGUCUUGUUGGAAUAUAAUCGACUAGGUCGAUUUGAUCAAUGCUUCGAUCAGUGAUAUGAUUGCUUGGGUGCCUAUUAUGAAUUGUAUUGAUUGGUGGGAUCAGAGGCCAAGGUAAGUCCUCUGCCCUGUGCGUGUUUAGGCAGCCCGUAGUAUAAUAGUUUAUCUAAUCGGGCUUAGUGGGGUAGAACUCGCUGAGACGUAGUCUCAUCCCAGUUUGGGGAACCCAUUUCAGGACCCCAGUGAGAAGCUGAAGAGGAGGAGUCUAAGAAGGAGAACUCGGAGGUGAAACUUAAGGAGAAAGAUUUUUGGGAGAAGAUGAUAAUCCUGAGAAGGGCCUUGAGUACGGCCCGGAUGGCUAAGAAUUUAUCUUCUUUUGAGAUCUCCUUUUUGAUGUGAAUAGUUAUGAAGUGAUUUAUGGUUUGUAUAAAAGUUUGGUUAUAAAUUUCAAUAUGAAAAAUAUGGCCCUGCUUUUCUAUCCCAUCGUUUUAUUAUCUGGGGAUUUUAACUGCUUCCGCAUGUGCUUAAUAAAUGAAAGGGUCGGCGAUACAUAGUCCUGGGGUAUCGCAUUAUAAAAUCGACAAAGGUAGAAGGAUGUGUGCGUGCCCGAGGAUCAGGGCGUGACACUAAUUGUUAGUUAUGUUUUGAAAAUCUACUAAGGCACCAGUCUUGUCUAGAAGUUUAUAGGAAUCUAUCGCGCCUGUAAAUAAAAAUCCCUUCAUUCAAGUAAUAUCAACUCAGGAUUCUUUACUUGCAACUAUGUCAUAUCCAAAAUUUCACUCCCAUUACCAUCAUUCACUCUUCAUUUUUGUGUAAAACACCAACUCCUUAGUUCAACGUCACGUUCUCAUUUAGACUUUCUAGCACCUUACCCCUAUAUUCACCAACUCUCCAUCAAACGCAAUUUGAACGGGGUAGGCAGUUGAAGUGGUUUAUUUGAGGAAAAGGAUCGUAGCACAUUUAAGGAAAAGCAAAGGGGGAAUAAGGCCAUUGACUCAAAGGGUGCACACCAAGCCACUGUUGAAGAAAGUAACACACUGAAUUUAAAAAAAGAAAAAAAAAGAAAAAAAAAUGGAGAACUUUCUUGAGUCGAAGCAAUUCCCAGGAGGGAUCGUCCACAGCCUCUGCCAAUUGAAGCGAUGAAGCACCACCUUCGAGUCCUCCAUGACCAUCUCCAGCAAAUCCUUCUCCGGAUUCCACUCCCGCCAUCUUCACUUGCCAAUCGGAAGAAAUCGAGCCCAAACCUCACAAAACCGAAUGGGAAAACAAUCAAAUCGACCCGCCCAUUAUUAGGUCGCGAAAGAAGGCGGACAGGAGCCGAACCUGAGAAGCUAGAGGUUUGUCGAACUGAAGCUAAAAGGGAAGCACGUGCCACGACCCUUCAUCGGUCUCCAUAGCCGAAAAAGAUCUGGGAGCAGCCAAAGCGUCCGGUGGCAAAUGUGAACUAAGAGGGAGAGCCAAUGGCGGAGGGCAGAGCCCGAAAACCCUAGAAGAAAGCCUGUUGGAAGAGAAGAUCGAGAGAGUAACGAAGUGCACUGGAGCCUGAGAAUUUUGCAGAGAAGAUUGCGGGAGAGGAAGAACAGGCGGGAGAGAGACGAGGAAGAGGAGAGAGAGAGAGGAUACGGGCCGAGCCGGGCCGGAUUGGGCCAUAAGUCGGGCUAAACUUCUUCUCCAGGCUCGUUCAUCAUACGAAAAAUAACGUAAGAGAUGACCCAAUGGGCCGCUACAGCCUCGAACGGUCCAGACCACUUUCGAUAACUUCGAGUAGAGAUUAAACCGAACGGUCCAUCCAUGUAGGACGGCAAAACGAUGUCGUUUUCUUAAGGAGGACCAAAAACAACGUUGUUUGAAGGCCUUGUCGAUUUUUUUUUAAAGAAAGCCACGUAAUUAUUUUAGUCGGAAUCUUUUGCCGAUGGCACCAAAGUGAUCAUUUUUCCUCCAAUUUGGCACUUAAGUGUUCCAACGGAAACUUUUUUGCACCAAAGUGACUGCCGUACACAACUUAUGGCACCAUUAGUGUACUUAUCCCAAGACUGCUCUAUAGAAGCAAGAAAGGAAAGAAGUAGUCAUUGACUGAAUCUGACAUACUAUACAACAAAAUAUUUGAUCUGAACAUACGGUAGGCUUACAACAUUUCCAAUUGGAAAGACACCAAAUAUACUGAAGACAAAACCCCAUCUUUAUCUCCACUACAAAGGAUAUUGAAACAUUGCUUUGAAGAAUUUGAGAGCUCUAUGAAUGAAUCUUGACCAUCAUCAGUUAAACCAGUUUCUCUAGGUACUAGUUCAGGCAUGCGAGGAACUCUUGGAGCUGGAGGGAAGAAACGAGCAGUGCGAUCUUCAAAUGCCAGAGAGUUGCCAGAAGUGUCCUAUUAAAAAAUUGAUAAUUAUCUUUCCAAUCGGGACAAAAAAAAAAGGAAGAAGAAGAUAAAUAUAACAAGAGAUUAAAGUAAAGUUGUCAACAAUCAGCAAAUCAAUAGCUCACAGCUGCAACAAACAUAAGUUUUCAAAAAACCUUCCAUAAACCCAUAUUGAAGCUGUUGAAUAAUUCUAAGUUUGAAAAAGAAAUAUCUUAGUAAACCAGACUAAAAUAACCAAACUGCAAACAAAGCAUUAGAUAGAACAUGAAAGGUAUGAACAGUAAAAUAUUGUCUGUUAAGAAUCAAGUUUGAGAAGUUAGAUGAACUUUUUUAAGUUGAAAGAUGCAUAUUCUAUUCACAUGGGCAUCCUCCUCCCAACUGAGACACACCACAGCUACCGCAUGGGACUUCAAGCUUCUUAACAGUUUCCAUUCUGCUUAAUAAUUAUACCGAGUUAGAAAUAAAUAUACCACGGUAUGUAUAACAGCCGCAAGCACUAGCAUAUAAAAAUCAGCAUAAUGCAUAUCCGUGGUUCCAUGAAGACAUCAGGAUUGGUAAGAUAACAUUCAUAUGUAAAAACAAGCUCUUCAGAGCAAAACGUAAACAGCUAGCUCAAUGACAUAACCGGUCAUCUAUGAACUUUUGCACCCAAGCAUAAUUGAGGCACAUAAAAAUUCUAUCAAUUAGGAGUCACCCGAAAUAUUACCUUCCUAAUAUGACUGGACUGGACAUAUGUCACUUUAAAUAAUAGAAAGAAACUAUUAAUCUGAUGAAAAUAAGCGUGUCAUGGAUGACUACUUCUAUAUGGCACCAUUCACCUAUGAUGACUACUUCUAUAUGACACCAUCCACCUAGACCGUAGAUCCUCUCAAUGAGCUCAACACCAAUAAAUCCUACUGUAAUUCGUCAUUGACAUUUGAGAUAUUUUAGAUCAUCAAUGACAACAUCUGCAACAAGAUGACAAUUUUUUGUUCCCCAUGAGAAUGCAAUUGAGCACAUCAACCAGAUUCAAGUCCUAAAGUGUAUAAAUCUAUUUAUAACACAUGUGAAUCAAACAAUUCACCACUAAUUUCAACAAUUAGAUAUAAGUCAAUCUUUGAUUCAUAAAUUACCACAAUGUUGUGUCAAAAACAUUUAAUGGCUUUGAUGUAGGACGACAAGUCCCAGAAUUAAGAUAAAUCUUUAGGCAUCACAUCAAAAACUUCCUAAGCAUCACACCUAAGAGAAAACUUGCACCACACAAUCCCAAAGCAAACACUUGUAAACUUCAAUAAUUUAUCAAGUCUAUUAAAAAGUAAAAUCACAACUAUAUCUACAAACUUCCUAAAUGUUCUACUCCUAGUAGAAAUACGAAACCUCUAGACAAGAAACAUAAUUGGAAUAGAUGUAAUAUUGUACUACACAAAUUCAAAGAAAAAGGAAACUCAGUAAUAUCCAAAUAAUACUCAAACCCUAGUUGAUAAUUUUAAUAAUCAAACUUUUAAGAAAAAUCUGAUCCCUAUAGAACUCUUCUUUGAGUUGCAAAACCAUUUUCAGCAAAAACUUGGUAGAAACGUCAAUAUUUGGACAAAUAACAUCUUGCAUGAUUUUGUUGGCUGCAUCAGGUUUAGUGGAUGUUGUGAUCAUGUUACACUAAAAUCUAUAAAUUAGAAUCCUAUUACAAUACUAUGUAUGCAAUCUUUGUGUCCUUGCAGUUAAAUGGGGUACUUAUUUGAUGAAAGAAAAAUAAUUUGCAACAAUAUAUUAUUGUCUAGAAAUCAUAACAUCAGUUGAAUUUAAUUUAUCUUUAUCAAUAUGGGUGACCCUGACAGGUGAUCAAGUUAUAUCAAAGUUGUCUACCUACUAAACAAUUAACACAAUUAACAAAUGAACGUUGUUUGCAUUCAAAGUUCAAACCACGUAACACGAAUUGACUCAUGUAAUCUGUCUAACUAAAAAAUCGUCCCAAUUUGAUUAGCGACCUGACCUAUCUUGACCUAUUUAUGUUUAGUUCAGUAGGUCUUAUGAUAAUAAAUCAUACAUGAAUUCUGUUUUUAUUGAGGUUACAAAAUAUGUAAAUUGUGUGUGUGUGUGUGUGUGUGUGUGUGUGUGUGUGUGUGUGUGUGUAAACAAGAUAGAAGAUAUCAUCUAAACCUAGGACUUUGUAAGCUUACAGCUAUUUUUGUAAAAAUUAUAUGACAAUGACAACGAUAUGCAUAUUGUACAUAUUGUACACAUGUCGUGUCAGUCAUGUUUGGAUUGAAAUGGACCAUUAAGAUACAAGAUAUCAUCUAAACCUAGGACUUUGUAAGCUUACAGCUGCUCAUUUUAAAAAUUAUAUCAUUGACGAAGUUAUGCAUAUUGCAAGUAUUGUACAAGUUAUUCAUGCUUUCUCGGUCAUGUUUGGAUCGGAAUGAACCAUUCACUUUAAUUAGUUAAAUGGGUACAUAUAAGAUACAAGAUAUCAUCUUAACCUAGGACUUUGUAAGCUUACAGCUAUUCUUUUUAAAACACUAUAUGACAUUAUAUGCAUAUUGAUGUAUUGUACAAGUUAUUCAUGCUGUGUCGGUCAUGUUUGGAUUGGAAUGAACCAUUCACUUUAAUUAGUUAAAUGGGUAUAUAUAAGAUACAAGAUAUCAUCUAAACCUAGGACUUUGUGAGGUUACAGCUAUUCUUUUAAAAAUUACAUGACAGUAUAUGGAUGUUGCAUGUAUUUAAGCAAGUUAUUCAUGCUGUGUCGGUCACGUUUGGAUUGGAACGAAAAAUUCACUUUAAUUAGUUAAAAGGGUCAUUCAUCUCAAGUCGUGGUUGAUCUAUUUAACAAAGGGGGCAUGUUCAAAAAGAGUGUUCUAACAAGAUUUGUUAAGUUUCUAUGUUCAUAAUGACCUAUCUAGCAGUCCACUGUUAAUUUGACAUUGGGAGACAGGACCCAUAAACACGGAUUGCCAUCUCUAUUAGCAGCUAAAUGUUUGCUGAGCAAGCUUCCAUUUGCAAUGCAUCAUGCGGCUUUUGAGCAAUUCAGAAUCUUUCCGAAGAAAGAUUAGAGAACACAUUCUGAUGAUAAGGGAUUGUUGCAGGAAGAUUUCUAAUUGAGAAGUUGGGAGGGUAAUGUUAAAGUAAUAACAUAGCAAACUUACUUCAAAGUGAAACUGUACCAUCUUCUAGUCCAAAGGCAACAACUUUGCCAUCAGGAAGCCAGCAUAAUGAUGUUAUACAUUUACCUGGAGUACAUUUGAAUAGUUAAGAUAAUCCAGUAUAACGACAUACAAUGGAAUGUGCAACGAAAAGUGAUUUCAUAAACAACAACAACAAGGCCGAUGACUCAAAGGGCACGCACACCAAGCCAUCGUCGAAGAAACGAACAUACUAAAUAAACAAAAAAUGAACUUUCUCGAGCCGAAGCAAUACCAAGGAGAGAUUGUCCACAGCCUCCGCCAAUUAAAGCGAUGAAGCACCACCUUCAAGUCCUCCGUGACCAUCGCCAGCAAAUCCUUCUCCGGAUUCCACUCCCGCCAUCUUCACCUGCCAAUCGCAAGAAAUCGAGCAAAAACCUCACAAAACCGAAUCGGAAACAAAUCGAAUCGGGAGCCGAACCUGAGAAGCCAGCGGCUUGUCGAACUGAAGCUCAAAGGGAAGCACGUGCCGCGACCCUUCGUCGGUCUCCAUAGCUGAAAAAGCUCCGGAAGCAGCCCGAAAACGCAGCCACCAGCUGCUGGAGCAAGCAGCAAGGGGGUGUACAGAGAGCUAGUGGAGGGUAGAGCUCGAAAACCCUAGAAGAAAGCUUGAAGACCAACACAUUCUGCCUCAAGCCCUUCCCCACGUCCCUCGUUCGACAGCCGAUUACGCCUCCCCGAGGCCGCGCACGAUCACGAGCUCCUCUGUUCCCGACCGGCUCGACGAAUCGCACCGCGAAUCGGAGCUGCCUUCGACGGAGAGCACGGACCGGAGGCCGGAAACUCGGACCGACGGGGAGCGGAGGAGCUGGAGGUCAACCUGACGAUCGUGCGGACGGCGGCCGGAGCGAGGGUCGGCGGAGACAACGAGGAAGAGAAGAGAAUUUGAUUACGGGCCGAGCCGGGCCGGAUUGGGCCAUAAGUCGGGCUUAUCAAGUGGCCCAUCGGGCCCGGGUUCCGGCCCGUCAGACUACUGAUCAUGUCAAGGCGCGGCCCAUUUAUAGAGUUUUUUACGUGGAAGCCACGGAACCAGUGAACUUCAGAACAAUAGAGAAAGAGAGUUGGGCUUUUUGAGAGAGACCGAGGGUAAAAUGAAGAGCACGACUCCGUUUUUUUUUUCGCAAAAUAUUAAUAAUUUAAAAAAUAUUUUCCUAAACUUAAUCAUCUAUAUUUUUUAAAAAUGAGUUGAUAAAAAAAUAUUUUUCAGUAUUAACAAUAAUUUGUGUCAAAAAUUUUGUUUGAUAAUGAAAAUAUUUUCUGUUUUCUCUUUUUUCUGGGAAAUGUAAAUGAUCAAAAUUAGGAAAAAGAUCUUUUCCAAAUAUGGAUUUUUCAAGACACGAAUGAAGCCUUAGAGAAUGUGUCUUUCUAUGAGCUAGUUUGCUCCGAGUGUUUUGAUAGUGGUGCAAGAAAUUCAACUAUAAUAGUGAGGUGUAGUCUUGCUACUCAUAAUGUACACUAGUUGUGUGAAACAAUCAUUUUUUUGUGUCUUGUUUGUACCGGUAUAUGUGUGUUUCAAGUUACCUAUUACAAUUUUCUCAUAUUACUAGCACCUCGCUCUCGCAUCCAUUAACUAGUAUUAGAGACUUUGCUUAAGUCUUUGUCCAUCCACUGGGUCAAGGUGAGUGAUGAUGUGAUCAAGAAGAUUUUGAUGGGUAAUCUUGUUCUUAAGCACUUACAUUUAAUCGAGAAACUUGAAAGAGCUUGAGAUUGACAGAUGUUGGCUAGUUGAAGCUAACGAUUCCCUAUUAAAGAUUCUCGCUCCUCAUUUGAGAAUUAAAACAAACCAGAAAAUGUGUUUGGUAAAACUCCAAAAGCACUUGAUGAAUAAAAGGAAAAUUCUCAAAAUCAAAAUCACAAACUUAAGAUGACUUUUAGUAUUUUCAUUCCACAUGCAAACAUGGAGAUUUGGAAUAACUAAGCCUGCUUUUUGAAUGUGAUGUAAACCGAGCAUAUUCUCACAAUUUUCAUCCCUAAUGACAUAUAUCAUUUUCACUGAACAAAUAUUUUGUCAAAAAAACAUCGAGAACAGUUUCUAUGAAAAUGGAAACUAAAGGCGUUUUCUAAAACUAAGCAGGCCUUAAACAGUCGAGAGCAAAAGUGAUGUGUGAAUCAUGCGACGAUGUUUAAAAUUUUGCAACAAAUUUGCCUCGCAACUUUCAACAUCUAAACUUAACAGAUUUUUAGAGGCUUUUUACUGAAAGAUAGUAUGAAAAUUACAGGUUGGCUUCGAAGUAUGAGGCAUCAUGUUGUUCGGCUUAUGGCGACUCUCGAAAGUCAACUCAAGCAUUAAAAAUUAUCAGCAGGAAAGUUCUUCCAUAAUGUAAAUUUCAAAGUUAUUUCUUAGAAAACUGCCAUGAAAUUGCUCUACAUUAACUAUCCAUUUCUUUUUGAAGGAUGAUGAUAAUAUCCUAAGUUAAUAAGCGUUUUACUUUCCUUAUGACCAAACAAAGUUAGAUGCCACCGAAACAAAUAUCAGUGCACAUGAACAACCUUAAUCUAAUCGUAACCUCAAGCAUAAUCAUCACCACAUAAACUAGAACACUAUCUAGAUCUCUGCGCUUAUCACCUUCAUUCACUCUUGGUUUUUCUUGUAAAAGACCAACUCCUCAGUUCGACAUCAUCUUCUCAUAUAAGACUUCUAAGCACUUCACACACUGAACAGAACAAAGAAAGAGCUUUCUCGAUUCGAAGCAAUUACCAGGAGAGACGGCCGAUCGACCACCUUCGAAGUCAUCCGUGACCAUGGCCAGCAAACCCUCUCCAGAUUCCACUCCGCCAUCUCCGUCUGAUGGUUGGAGGAAGGGGGCGGGGGCGGGUCUUUUUCUUUUUCUUUUAUAUUUUUUUGAAAAAAUUGAAAAUUGAAAUGUCCUUUUCUUUUUCCCUCUCUUGCUUCUUUUAAGGACGUGUUUAACGUUGGAAUAUGAAUCUUUUGAAUUUUUAUUUCUUGACAAAAAAUCUUGUGAAUUAAUAGGUUAAUUUUCACGAUUACAGCCCGAUGAAACAGAGGAAACCCUCGUUCGACUCUAUUCCCCUAUCAAAUUUGUUUCAUUUUGCUGUUUCAUUUUUUUAUUUAUUUUGUACUUCCCAUUUUCUCGUGUCAAAGGGUCGUAAGUUCUUUAGAAUGCGCAUGAUCAUCUACCGACCAAUCCUGAAAAGCACCAAACUUUGUUAUAAUCUUUGUUGUUCCGGUGGAAAAAAGUUUACAAUGCUUGAUACUGCAAAGAUUGGUCAAAUCAAUAGUCAGUCAUCUUCGGAGAGUACCCGAUGGUUUGUUCUUUGAAAUUCCUUACAAGAACGGUAGGAAUCAAGGAGUUUCCUUUCAUGUUUGUCUCUAUUUUUGCUAAGCAAAUGAAUAUUGAUGAGACUGAAGCAUAUGCUACGAAUACGUCACCGUAUACCUCAUGUUCAUUCAUUUUUUGCAUUGCUUAUACCUGGUAUGAACUUUUGAUAAUUGUUCUACAAAUUAUCCAGAAAUAAAAUCGCAAAAAUUCUUAAAACGAACCAAAGGGCAAAAAAAAAAAAAGUUCCACGCAGAACAGCACAGCAACACAAAAAAAGAAAAGAAAAAGAAGAUGAAAAAAUGAAGGAGAAAAGCGUCUCAUUGAAAAAAAAUCGUCAAUUUUAGGCAUUUCUUUUACGAAAUGUUGUUGCUUUUUUACAAACUUUUAUCUUUUUGUUGCGAACAAGAAUUUUGAUCAAGUGAGUUAUGCUGUAAUAGACAAAAACAAUGUGCUCCUACACGCUAACGUGCGUCAUCACUAAUUAAGGUAAAAAAAGAGGAAAAUCUAUAAGUUAAGCACCAAUCGGGUGGUCUGCCCAUUCGUGUUUUGAUCUUCGGACUACAUGUAGCCCGCAUGUACGCUUGUGCGUUGAGAUCAUAUGAGGUUCCUGAUGGACCAACUCAUUGUAUUUUUAUCUACUGGUAAGUGUGAUACAUGUCUAUAGCUCUAGAUUUUCGAUUGAACAAAUAAAGCCUAGAUUGAUUCCAGAAUAGUGAUCUAUAUUGAAUUGCCAACUAAAAUCAUUCACAUAAAAAGCAAAUGAUUUGAAAGAAUUUUUUUCAAAAAAUAAUUGCUUAUAUGGUUACAAAAGUGAACAAACGUGAGAAAUUCUUGUUGAGCAUGAAAAUGUUUGGAUGAUUGAGACAUAUUUCAUUGGUCGAUUAUUUCAAAUAAUACAAAAUCAUUUUUAAAAAGGUAUUUUCAAAGCAUUUAUCUUUUCGUGGAACAAAAUGAGCCUCAGUCCACGUAAUCUACAAAUAAUGUCAUAUAUGGUAUGAUGUGUUCAGGUUUGUCUAAGAAACAAUAUUAUUUAAUUCGGGCCCACAUGUUCAAUGGUAAUCUCAUCGCACACCCCAACAAAACAAAGUGCCCAAACGGGAGGACUCAUGGGACAUCGCAUCAAUGUGAAUGUGGUGGUGGAUUCAGCUAAUGAAAUUGUAAUUUGGAAAAAAGCAAUGUGAUUAUUCUCAUUUACUUUUGAAUUUUAAAGAAUAUGCUAAUGAAUUAUUCAAAUCAGCAUCUCAUAGAAGCGAACAUUCACGCAUGCUUAACAUGUCGAAACGACAAGCCAAGCCUGAAAAUAUGGCCAAGCCAUUUGCCAUCACCACCCAACUUCCAAACACUCGGUCAUUUGCCAUCAUUCGCCCAAAAUCCAACCUCUUUCCCUGUACCUUUUUCUUUUUUUUUUUUUUUUUUUCCAAUUUGUGAUGAUUGCAUAUCAAACUUUAAUGUACAUGAUCAUUCUCUAGUCAAGUGGUGAACGUCAUUCAUGUCUAUUUUUAUCCUCAUGACACUUUUGGAUGGAUCACUAAUAAGUCUUGUUACCAAUAAAUGUGCAGGCCAUGUUUAAUCUGGCCAUUCCUCAUAUCUGCAAUGCAAAGGACUUCUGCCCACUGCAAAACUUCACAUGCUUGGCUAGGCAUCUGAAGAGCAUGGAGAUCAUUGGUUCAUAGCUCGUUCCUUCGACGGCGACGGAUGUAAGCUCACCAUGCCAGUGCUACUUUUACCAAGAGAUGCACUCCUGCUAGAGAAGAUGGUCAUUAACGUCAAGACCAAUGGAAGACACCAAUCGAAAUCUCUCAAGUCUUUGCCACGGCUGCUUCUACCCUAGAUGCAAUCUUACCAGUAAAGUCUCGCUGCAAACUACCCAAUAGGGAGGAAGUGGGUGGACAAGAAUCGUUUGGACAGUUUCCUAUGCUUGCACCAAAUUAUCUUUGGGUUAUUGGAGCUUUUAUGGAGAAAGAAACUUAGUAUUCUUGCCACUAGCAUCCUUUCAAAAAAAGAAAAAAAGAAAAAAGACAACCCAGAAGCUCAACAUUGAACUAAAGGAGCUACAUCAAUUUUCAUAACAAAUUAUUUCCUAUCAAUCAUGUUCAAUUUUCCAUCUAAAAUAUCUCAUUUUAAAGUGAAAAUUACCCAUUCUAGGUAUAGGACAUAGGAUUUUGAAAUCGACUUUACGUAGUCAACCGAGUCAAGACAUUGUGAUAAAAUCAUCAUUGACAAUUCAGAAACUCGUACAUAGAUCUGAAAAACCUCCCAAAUAGGAAACCAUAAUCCACACUAAUAGAUCUAAUGAUAGGCAGUGGGCCCAAGGGAGUCCAUUUGGGAGAGUCCCAACAAGGAAUUAUAACUAUUAAGGGCUUGCUCCAUGAAACUAAAGAGACAACUGAAAGGAACCUUAAUGAUACUGAUUAGAACAAUUCUCCAGCACGCGUUUCUAGACUAAUCAAAUGUCUGUUGAGAAGUUCAUCAUGUUUUCACUUUGAAACAAUACUAAACCCAAACAUGCAGGAAGGUUCAGAGUACCUAAAAUUCUAAAUCUUCUAAUAGCUACACACCCACAGAGAGAACUAUCUACACACAAACAUACACACUCACAGAACACUUUCCCCAACCGACGGUCGUAUAGGCUCUCUCAAUCUCCCUGAAAAAGAGCAGAAACUCAAAAGACUAAGACAAAAGCAGAAAGUCUGUACAGCAGGCUAACCCAGACAGGCACCAAAUUCUCCUUUAGGUGCUUCAACUGCAGUAUAGGUAGGAGCACUCGGGGCAAACAACAAAAGCUUUAGAUAAUUGUGCUGUAUCGAAGUAGGAGGUGUCAUCUUUGAAGUGACCAGUAGAAGUGAAAUCUAGAACUUUUACAAGAAUAACUUCACCUAGUAUAGUUGUUUAAUUGACUAGUCCAUUACUUUUGGGCAAUACUGAUUUCUGCCAUCAGAUCCAUUUAUUAGGAAAGACUGCUCUAUGGAAACAAGAAAGGAAAGAAGUAGUCAUUGACUGAAUCUGAUAGACUAUACUGCUAAAUAUAUGAUCUGAACAGACAGGAGGCUUACAACAUUUUUCCAAUUGGAAAGACACGAAAUAUACUAAAGCACAAAACCCCAUCUUCAUCUCCACUGCAAAGGAUAUCGAAACAUUGCUUUGAAGAAUUUGAGAGCACUACGAAUGAAUCUUGACCAUUGUCAGUUAAACCAGUUUCUCCAGGUACUAGUCCAGGCAUGCAAGGAGAUCUUGGAGCUGGAGGGAAGAAAAGAGUAGUACAAUCUUCAAAUGCCAAAGCGUUGCCAGAAGUGUCCUAUUAAAAAAUGGAUAAUUAUCUUUCCAAUUGGCCAAAAAAAAAAAGAAAGAAAAAGAAGAAGAAGAAGGUAAAUAUAACAAGAGAUAAAGGUUAAGGAGUCAACAAUCAACAAAUCAACAACUCACAGUUGACACCAAACAUAAGUUUUCAAAAAACAUUCCACAAACCCAUAUUGAAGCUGUUGAAUAAAAUCCUAAGUUUGAGAAAAGAAAUAUUUUAGUAGACCAGACUAAAAUAACUACUUAACUGCAAACAAAGCAUUAGACAGAACAUGAAAGGUAUGAACAAUAAAAUAUUGUCUGUUAAGAAUCAAGAUUGAGAAGUUAGAUAAACUUUUUUCAGUUGAAAGAUGCAUACUCUAUUCACUUGGGCAUCCUCCUCCCAAUUGAGACACACCCCAGCUGCCACAUGGGACUUAAGCUUCUUAACAGUUUUCCAUUCUGCUUAAUAUUUAUACCGAGUUAGAAAAAAAUAUACCACAGUACGUAUAACUGCUGCAAGCACUAGCAUAUAGUUGCACGAUGCAUAUCCACGGUUCCAUAAACACGGCUAGAUUGGUAAGUUAACAUUCAUAUGUAAAAAUAAGAUCUUCAAAGCAAAACAUAAUCCAUGAAGUGGAUAAUGAUUAAUAAAUUGGUAGACAUUGCAAAGAAGCUUUAUGGCAGCAGCAUCAGCCAAGUUCUGAGCAAUUGUACCCAUGACCAAACAGCUAGCUUAAUGAAUAACUGGUACUCUACGAACUUUUCCACCCACAAGCAUAAAUAAGGCACAUACAAAUUCUAUCAUUUAGGAGUCACCUGAACUAUUACCUUCCUAAUAUGACUGAACUGGACAUACGUCACUUUAAAUAAUAGAAAGAAACUAUUAAUUUGAUGAAAAUGAGCGUGCCAUGGAUGACUGCUUCUAUAUGUUGUCUCAGUCAUCUUUGGAUAGGAAUGAACGAUUCAAUCUAAUUAGUUAAAUGGGUAAGAUACAAGAUAUCAUGAUAUCAUCUAAACCGAGGACUCUGUAAGCUUACGGCUAUUCUUCUUAAAAAUUAUAUGACAUUGACGAAGAUAUGCCUAUUGCAUGUAUUGUACAAGUUAUAAAUGCUGCGCCGGUCAUGUUUGGAUUGGAAUGAACCAUUGACUAUAAUUAGUUAAAUGGGCUAUUCAUCUCUUGUCGUUUGUUGACCUAUUUAACAAAGGGGGCAUGUUUGAAAAGAGUGUUCUAAUAAGAUCUGUUAAGGCUUUUGUGCUCAGAUUGACUGAACUAGCAGUCCACUGUUCAUUUGACAUUGGCAGACAAGACCCAUAAACAUGGAUUGCCAUCUCUAUUAGCAGCUAAAUUUUUGUUGAGCAAGCUUGCUGUUUGCAAUGCAUCAUCUGGCUUUUGAGCAAUUCAAAAUCUUUCCCAAGAAAGAUUAGAGAAGAACACAUUCUGAAGAUAAGGGAUUCUUGCAGUGAAACUGUACCAUCUUCUAGUCCCAAUACAACUACUUUGCCAUCAGGAUGCCAGCAUAAUGAUGUUAUACAUUUCCCUAGAGUACAUUAGAAUAGUUAGAUAAUCCAAUAUAACGACAUACAAUGGAAUGUGCAAAGAAAAGAGAUUUCAUAGACAACAACAGCAGCAGUAACAAAAACACAGAGAGGGAAAGAGAGGGAGAGAGAGAGAGAGAGAGAGAGAGAGAGAGAGAGAGGAUGAAUAAUUUGUUCACCCUAAAAUUAAUAGACUAAGAGGAAAGACAGAGAACACACAUAAACCGAGAAAAUGAUAAUCAAAAUUUUGGAAGUAAGGCAAACAUCAUAACAGUACACAUUAUAUCUGACAGGAUAUUGGUAACUUGACAUGGGAUUUCUUUGGGCUAGUAGAUCAUCUAAAGCUAGGGAAUCUAUAUCUUUUUGGCAGCCUUCAAUCCAUUAUCUCAAUCCAGAAACGAAUCUUAUUGUUCAGCUUUGGAACCUCGAGGUGGAGUGUAACCAUGAAAGCAUACGUCAAGCAAGGAUCACAAGUGUACAAGUAUCUACAACUUAUCUCAACAGAAACCACUCAAGGAUUGGUUCAAGAAGCACUCAACAACAUGUUUUUCAUAUCAAGAAGGCAACAUGAUGCAUGCAGCAUUCAGAUGUUUCUCGAGAAAAUAUACCUCCUCUCUAAAUUUUUCCAGUGAGAAUAGAUUACAAACACUACCAAGGCUAGGCAUCUGAUCCCAAGCUCUUACGAAUUUGAAUUACCAAAAGAUAAAGUCGUACAAGAACUUAACAUACUUGGAUGCAGCUCUGCCUACCCUCCUAGUCUUUUUGCUUUCUCCAACUCCUCACUUCAUGUAUGCAGCAUAGCUUGACAUACAUCCUAUUCACAAGUAAGUUAAAUUCCCAACAACAAACUUGAUUAAUCAAAAUGAUGUGACGAAAUGCCCCUUUGUAAUCAGAAGAAGAUAAAUUAACUCAAGUAAUACAAAUUGUGCGAAACUUUCCAGACUAGACUCUACAUUUUAACAAUACAGAAUGUGAGAAAUCCUUGUAGGGGAAUGCUCAAUCUGUACAAGAAGAGGAAGAAGAGGAGCCAGAAGUAAUAUUACGCUCAAUCAGUACAAGAAGAGGAAGAGCGGAGCCACAGUAAUAGUACAUCGUGAGAGUCACUAACAGAAAUUGAAGGAAAAUAUAUAGAUGCCCGAUGGCAUUGAGAUCGUAUUUUGCAGGGGUUAAACCUGCCAACUCCAAGUGGGCAUCAAGCAUUUCUACAUUGGACAUAACUAGUCUAUCUAGCAUAAAUAACAUCCCCUCCAAUUCAAGUUCUUUAUCUUCAUGAACACUUUGACUGGUGUACAGGAAAGAGCAAAAAGAUGGCAAUACAGGAGUAGGGUACACUUCCAGUUGGUCUAGAUGAUUGUCAGUUAUGUUAUGGAAAUCUCCAAAAGGCACCAAUCUUGUCUAGAAGUUGAUAGAAAUCUAUCACGCCUGUAAAUUAAAAUCCCUUCAUUCAACUAGUAUCAGCUUGGGAUUCUUCAUUUGCAACUAUGUCAUCUCCAAAUUUUCCCUCCCAUGACCAUCAUUCACUCUUCAUUUCUGUGUAAAACACCAACUCCUUAGUUUGAUGUCAUGUUCUCAUUUAGAAUUCCAAGCACUUAACCUCUAUAUUCACCAACUCUCCAUCAAAUGCAAUUUGAACUGGAUUGGCAAUUGAAGUGAUUUAUUUGGGGAAAAGGACAGUAGCACAUUUAAUGAAAAGCAAAUGGGAGGUAAGGCCAACGUGCAUGCAGAGUCAGAACUUGCAAUUGGGCAAAGAAAAUGGCACACCUUGUACCUCUGCCGCAAGUGAUAAAACCUAAGCACAUUCAAAAAUUGGAAGGCAAAAGAAUAAGAUAAUUUACUCUUCGUUCCAAAUACAGUUUAAAAAACCCAGCGAGCGUAUGCUUUAAGAACACUUUUCGUUCCCACCUAUAUGACAAAUUGAGUGAUGCUAAAGCUUUUGAGUUUGAAAUAGUAGAACUUAUAUACUAAUUCUAGUCAACAACUGCUCUUUCAGUCUUUAAAAUACAGGACACAACAACUUUUCAUUAAUAAUUUACUAUGAUCUUUGGAAUGAUGGUUAUGCACUACUGAGCAGGAAAAAGAAUGACCCUAAAGCAGCUGCCUUUUCUUUGGUUUUUUAGUGGUUAUUCUAAAGGCACGAUGUGUAUUUGCACCAGUGGUCAUCAGCCAGAGUAGCAAACGAUGCAAACCAGAUUCCUUGUGCUGAAGUUUGGAAUGAAUUUCCUUAACUCGAGGAAGAGGGAACAAUGAAUUAUCCAUAGGUAUGAACCAAACGAGUUAAAUUUGAAAUAAAAAACAAUCUGCUCACCUGAAGGCACCAACUACCAAUCAAAAGCUUGAUCGCUUUCUGCAGCUUCUGAAGCAAUCCCUCAACCAGUUUGCAAUACCCUCUGUAAGACUCGAACCGAUUUCGAACAAAACAAUCAGAUGGCCUUCCAAAAUCCUCGCCUCUCAUAAAAAAGUUCGACUCUGCUUCAAUCAAGGAUCGAGACUUCCGUUACCAGCUGCCUCAUCAUACCAGAAAAUCCUCUCAAACAGCAACAGAGGACUUGAUGGUUCGCUUUAAACCGUAGCAUCCUUCCAAAUUAAGGUCCUCGAGAACAGGGCUGCCAUUCGACAUCUCAUGCAUCACCUCCGAGUCACAGAUGGACAGGUACCUAAGAUUAAUCCAAGCGAUACUUCUACUCAACCAGAAGCAACAGAGCCCUGAGUGCAGGUUCACCACCGAAGAGCAUCCAUAAAAGGAGCCGCCGUACUGCGAAAUGGUCGGCCAUCUCGCACAACCUCUUAGUGGCAUCGACUGAGAGGUCCUCGACUCGGCGGUCGACAGCAAAGCGAGGCCACGGACUGAGCUCAGGCGCGCAACGGUCGAGAAAAUCAACGUCGAUGUGGAACUUCCUCACCUUGGGCGACGCCUAGAGGAUCGAGACGCCGUCCACGGACGGGGAGGCGUUCCGCCAGGGGGGGGAGAAGACGAGGUCCGGGGGCGGCGGUCCAAGACGGAUCGCCACCGCUUCGACAAAAGCGCACGAGCGGACAAUGCGUGCGAGGUCGAGAGCCGAGAAGAUGCGGUGGAUCACGAGAGGAGGAGGUCGGCGAUCGCUUCGUCUUCGCCAUGUGGGGAUCGACGAUCGAACGGAUGAACCGGAAGGAGAGGCUUCCUCCGAUUUGAGGGUUCAUUUCACUCGGACUUAAGUUUCUGGCUUGCCAUACAGAGACACGUGUCGCUCGAUUGAGUGGCAACUACUUUCCCGCGCCUUUUAAUACAUCUACGAGCUGGUGAUGAUGGGCCUCGCACGUCUUGAAUUGCCGAGUAUCGAACCUUGAUUUUUUUAAUCCAAGCUUGUCCGACAUCUGAAAAAAUCAUCGUUCAUAUAAUAAUUGAGUGUGAACAAGAUCGAGUAGGCGUACAUAAGCGAGCUUGAGCCCGUGAAAGAAAAUGUGUGCUUGAUUCCGCUUGAUUUGUAAUAUCACUCUCGAGGUUUCACUUACGUAAUGAUAGAUAGAAAUAAUUAUUGAAACUUUGCAAACACCUAUAAAGAAAAAAGAUAAAAUAAAAAUUAACCAUAAAUAAAAUUUAUGAGAUAAUUAUUUAGCUUAAAUUAUAUUCAUGAUCAAAGUAUGAUAUCUCAUGGGCUCGAAAAAUAGCAGAUGAAUGUUUCAACGUCUUGAAUUACAUUGGCAUGAAUGUGAGGAAUGAUAACCCAAGUAAUUCAUGAAGUUCACCGGUCUAGGAUGGACAUGUUUCUUAUUUUCAAAUUGGCUGACAAGAAUGCAAACGGAGAAGACUUUUCUCACCUCACCACCAUGCCAAAUGCAAGACUAUUGGCAUCCACAAUGUGCGUCUCCAUUUAGAUGGCAACUCCAUGAUUCUAGUAAUUAAGGUUGUUGAGCUUAUGGCUCAAGUUCUACCAACUCGGAUUUGGAACGAAGACUGGAGAUUAAACUAAGUCACAAACGUGUUAAGAGGCAUUGUGGACGUGUGGCAAAGUUAUGUGGAGAGGACCGGAUGCUUGAGCCCUGCCGUGCUACCGACCAAAUGAUAGCACCGGGUAUUGUUUGAGCUCUUGGGCAAUCCCUUUGGACGCCUAAUAACUAGUAUAGUCAAUAUCCGAUAUUUCGUUUCCUAUGUGAGACAAAAAUUGCUAAUUAAAUAUGUUCUCCAUUGCAAAAGUUGGAAAUUCAGUUUUUAUGAAGAUGAUGACUUUUCUUAAUUUGUGUGGAAUAGGUUGAUUCAUCCUCCAUAUAGAAAAAAAAAAAAUAGGCCUGUCAAUCAUAACCUUUUGAAAGUGAAACCAAAUCCAACCAAACUGAAAAGCGGUAUCAGCUUGGCUUCGGAAGAUACCAGGAAAAGAGUUCAUAACAUAAAUGAAGAUUCUAUUGUGUAAACAUCCGAAGAUUGUUCUAUGUACAUAAAAUGCGAAUAACAUUGGUAAAUAACAAAAAUAUCUAAUAACAAAAUGCUGACCUAUAACUCAUUUAGUCAUUAAUAUUUUGGUAAGUUACCAAAACUUUUAAGAAAAUACCAAUGCUUAUUGUAAUAUUCUUUAUUAUAUAUUAUGGUCGACCUUUGAAUCUUCCCGAUGGUUAAAAUUAGAAAAAUUUGGGACUCAAGAUCUCGGAUUGUGGCGAGGUUCAUUUCUUGACUAAAAAAAUUUGAUUAGUAUUACUUUGUUGGUCAAACCAAAGUAUCGACCUUUGACCGGAAAAAGAAACUAUUGUUUCACUAGUCUUAAUCUUUUUUAGACAUUCGAUUUAGGCGCGACAACCCAAAAUCCGUUGGGAAAAUAAAACGUAAUCUUUUUCCAUCUUCUACGUUCAAGGUGGGAGGCGUCACAAGAUAGAUGGUCAAUGAGCCUCUCCAUCAUUCCCCUCCACGCCAUUAGUCGCCAUAGCUGCUUGCCCUCGCCGUUGCCGAGCCGCCCUUUCCUGCUCCACUAUUGCUCCCUACCUUCCUCACCGUGAAGACCGAAGAGCCCAGGUCUCGUCCGGAGACUCUCUUGCUGACCAUUGUUCUGUUUGUAGAUAAGUCAUAAAGGUUCCAGUCGCCGGCGUCGCAGCCUAGCUACGCCACUGACAAACUAGGCCUUCUUGCUGCGUUCAACAACGGUCAUCGACGAGGAGCCUCUGAAAAACCGACGGUCCAAGGGUUCAUUUUUAGGCUCGAGUAUUCUGGUUGGUUUAUCCAAUUGUAUCCUUAUUUUUGUUCCCUACGUUUUGUAGAUGUAAUGGCCGGCACAAUGGUGAGCUGAUGGUCGGAGGUGGUGGUCCGGUGAAGAGCGAGAAUGAGUGAGGGUGGUGUAGGAGUACUUUUGAGCGUAAGGUCUUGAAUGUUUCUGGUUCAAUGAAGCUUUAGAUAUUAAUCCGUAGGGAUGAAGAUUCAUUACAAGUCAUUGAAGGCGGGAGCUCUGGGACUGGGGAGCUAGGCGUCAAAGAUGAAGGGUGAAAAGAUAUAUAUCCCAAAGCAAUGAACGAUAUUGACGUGUCCGAUGGGGGUGGUCGGGGCCCCACACGGGGACGAGGCGGGGAUCCGAACUUCCCUUUUGCUAAUUGCUAAUUGCUAAUUGUUGCAGUGGAAAUUGGGCCCCGACUUUAUCUACUUUUCAUCUACCUUUUUCCUGUUUUCCUUUGUUCCUAUUCUUUUUUAGUAAUAUGCAGGGGUGUGAUUGAGUUGGUUUUGCAGGGGCGUAUAUACUCAUCACUAACUUUAAUAGAAAAUUACAGGCUCCUAUUUGAGUCAACUUGUUCAAGUUACUAACUUCUUUGGGAAAUUAUCACUAUCAUUUGAGUACACUUACUAUUAUCUUUAGAAUUACUGACGUGUCAAAGUCACCGUGUAAAUUGCUCCAAUAAUCUAUCAACAUAUAGCUGAUAACUUUACUGUAUAAGCUACUCCAAUAAUCUAUCAACAUAUAGACGAUAAUUGAUAUUAUGUGAGUACAUAGCGUGUUGAUAAGAGAUCGGGUUGAAAAGAUUUAUCAAACCAGCAUUGAAGGUGAGAAUAGCUCAAUCAUUUAAUAGGCAAGAGGCCCAAACAUAUGUGAAAAAAAAAAGAAUAAAUUAAAACCCAUUAAUGUCUCCCGGAGAUGUACACGAAGUUGCAUUUCUGUGAACAUUUCGUAAUAACAAACAGUGCAAAAAGUUGUCAUUCUUUUAUCCGCUGCAGUGUUUCUAUAACCAAACGGUCCCAUAUUCAGAUACUUGGUUCUGAAGAAAAGAAAAUCGCAGAGAUGUCUUGCUUUGCUCCAAUCAAGUAGACAUCUCAUGAGCUUAAAAAUAACAGGCAAUUGCUUUCAUCACAUCUUAAAUUACAUCGGCUUGAACACGAAAAAUCGAGCAAAAACCUAGGAUAGACAUCUUAAAAACCUUCGAGUCCUCCGCGACCAUCGCCAGCCAACCCUUCUUCGGAUUCCACUCACGCCAUCCUCACCUUCCAAUCAAAAGAAAUCGAGCCAAAACCUCACAAAACCGAAUCGGAAAACAGUUGAUUAGACCCACCCUCUACUUUACAGAAAGAACGGCCCGAAUGGCAGCUGAACCUGAGAAAACAAAGCGGUUCGUCGAAACUUAAAGCUGAAACGGAAGCAUGCGCCGGCGACCCUCCUUCGUCAGUCUACAUCAAGCAGCCCGAGGACCGCAGCCACUAGCUCCGCUGGAACAGAGCUAUUACGCUUGGUCUAAUAGUCGGAGGCGUGGGGAAGGGGCGGUUCUCCCUUUCUUUUUCUUUUUUCUCUGAAAUUGAAAAUUGAAAUUUUUAUCGGAUCCUAGGUGCACUGCUAAUUUUUUUUUUCCUUUUGUCCUCAUUUACUUUUUUUAAGGACAUGUUUCACAAUGGAAUAUGAAUCUUCUGAAUCAAUAGGUUAACCCUCGUUCGGCUCUAUUCCUCCUUCCAUUUCGUUUCAUUUCUCCAUUCUGUUCCAUUUUUAUUUCAUAACUUCCAUUUUUCAUACCAAAUGGGUCGAGAAAUCUUUAGAAUGCAUAUGAUCGUCUACCGACUAGUUUUGAAAAGCAUUGUACUUUGUUAUAAUCUUCGUUAUUCCAAUGGAAGAAGGAUCAUAACACUUGGUACGACAACAAUUGAUUGGACUAAUAGUUGGUAAUAUUCAAAGAGCACAUAAUAGUUCGUUAUUUGAAAUUCAUUACGAUAACGGUGGGAAUCAGGGUGUUUCUUUUUACCUUGUCUCCUUUUUGCAUUGCUCAUGCCCGACAUGAACUUUUGAUUAUUGGUCUACAAAUUAUUCAGAAAUAAAAUCAGAAAAAUUCUCAAAAUAAAUAAAAGAAAAAAAACUACAAACGGAACAGCACAGCAACCAAAAAAAAAAGAUGAAAAAAUGAAAUAGAAAAGCAGCCCAUUGAAAAAAAAAGAAAUGAGGAAAAUCUAUAAGUUAUGCACGGAUUGAGUGAUUUGUCCAUUCAUGUUUUAAUUUCCGGAUUACAUAUAGCUCGCAUACACACUUGCGUUGAGAUCAUACGAGGUCAGUGACAUAAAAAUCGCUACACUUUUAACUAUUAGCCAAUGUGAUACAUGUCCAUCACUCUUGAUUUUAGAUCGAAAAGAUGAAGCGAAAAUCAAUUCCAAAAGAGUGACCUAUAUUGAAUAGCCAAUCGAAAUCCUUCACGGAAAAUGAAUGAUUUGAAAAAUAUUUUUCAAAAAAUAAUUACUCGUACAGUUACAAAAAUGAAAAAAUGCAAAAAAAACACACAUAUUGCAAGCUUGCUGUCACCAUAUAGAAGUUCCUACCUUUGCAUCUCUCUUGUUAUCGCAUAGAAAGUCACCCAACGAAACACAAAUCAUCGUAACUCAAGAAUCUUGGUACGCUUUCUUGGUUUUUUUUUCGACUGUUUGUUUCCAAUCCCCCCACACGAAUCCUCUUCGCCAGACUCGGACCUCACGUGCUUUGUUGGAACUCCCGCUUGGCAAAUACCAUGCUCAUUAUCGUCGUCGUCGUCAAUAAUAUCUCCUGAGUCUGUUUCGCCAGUGCUAGAAGCUAAUGGAUUCGGAGGUUAACAACUCGCCUCUACAGAUUUUACGGCUGCUACUGCUUCAGGGGAAUGAAGAUCGGCGAUCCCUAGCAUCAGAAAGUUACCACUGCUUAAUAAGCGUUUAGGCAUUUUUUCUAGGAAAUCUUAUUGCUUUUUACAAACCGUUUUCUUUUCUGGGUUGCGAACAAGAAUGUUGAUCAGGUGGAUUCUGCUGCCGUAGACAAAAACGAUGUGCUUUUUGCGCACUAACGUGCAUCAUCGCUGAUUAAAAAGAUAUGAGGAAAAUCCAUAAGUGCAGAUCAAGUGGUCUGCCCAUUUGUGUUUUGAUCUUCUAACUACAUAUAGCCCGCAUAUACGCUUGUAUGUUGACAUCAUACGAGGUUUUCGAUGGAUCAAAUCACUGCACUUUUAUCUACCGAUGAGUGUGAUACAUAUCCAUCGCUCUCAAUUUCCCAUUGAAAAGAUAAAGCCAAGAUCAAUUCUGGGAUAGUAAUCAAUAUUAAAUUGCCAGCCGAAAUCCUUUUGCAGAAAAAGUGACCAAUUUGGAAAAUAUUUUUAAAAAAAUAAUUGCUCACGAUUAUAAAAAUGAAUGGAUGCAAAAAGAUUUCGUCGUGCACGACAAUUGAGACGUAUUUUUUGAUUGAUUAUUUCAAAUAAUACAAGAGAUUAUUUUUAAGAAGGUAUUUUUCACAUCAUUCAUUUUUUGCGGAACAAAAUGAAUCUUAAUUCACGUCAAUUUGCAAAUAUUAUCAUAUAAGGCAUCGUUAUCUCAUUUGUCUACAAAACGAAAUCGUUUAAUUCAGGCCCAUACGUUUAAUUAUAAUCUCGUUGCACAUCCCAACGAAAUGAAGUGGCCUGACGGGAGGAGGCUUGGCCCUGCUCCAGCAGAGCUAGUACAGAAGCAUCGGAGGACUCAUGGGACAUCACAUUGAUGCGAAUGUGGCGGUGGACUAGUUGUUGAAAUUGUAAUCUGGAAAAAGCAAUGUGAUCAUCCUCACUUCUGAUUACCUAAAACAAAGAGGCCAACUACUGGUUAACAGGCGUCUCCUCCACCGUUUAGGGACAAGAAUGGUUUGGACAAUUUCCGAUGCUUGCACCGAAUGAUCUUUAGGUUAUUGGAGCUUUUAUGGAGCGAGAAGUCUGGGCUUGGCAGGGCAUCCGUUUACAGUGCAACAAGAAAAGAAGGAUUCAACUCAAUUCCCCGGGCAGGAUAAUACCUGUUAAGGGGCAUUUGUUUUGGAAUUCAGAACCCAAAUCUUCUCAAGGCCUCUCAAACUAUGUUCACAAGUUUCAUGCCUGUCAUCUGGUGCUGUAUAUAUAAAACUCGACACAAUUCUAUCUUAUUUGAUGUUUGGUGACCAUCCACCAUAUGAAAGAUAUCAAUACCUCAAUUUACAGUAUUCUGAAAGCCAAAACUUAGAUCAAGUUCAAAUACACACCAAUGAUUAUGAAAGAUAUGGCGUGUCUCAAAAUGUGUGAAGCAUAACUUACAGUAGAGAUUGCCAACUUGUUAAAUCAGAAUCAAAUCAGAUUUUACCUCACCCUUUCGAGCCAUAUAAUGUCAGUAAUCCAUAUCAUUGCAUACGAUAGGUUUGUAAAAGAAUUUAACACCAGGAUGUUCUGAAAGAUAUGGCGUGUCUCAAAAUGUGUGAGGUAUAACUUACUAUAACAAAUUCCUACAUCUAUCUGAUCACCCUCCACGACUGUUCUAUUCGAUGCUUAAAACUCAACAAUUUAUCAGAGAGAAAAGCCAAAUGCAAAGGUAAUAACGCACACCUGCAGAUGAUUGACGACAACCAACUGAAGUUCUUUUCCAGCACCACAGACAACUUUUGGUACACACUUCAUACCCUAUCAUUGAACAAACGAGCAGACUAAGAUCAUAAAAACCAACCAAAAAGAACAGAAGUCCUAUGGUGACACCAGAACUUUAAAAAACCAGCCGUACCACUUCACCCAGAGAAUUAACAAGAAACUGAUGGACUGCAGGACUGGUCCUAGCACCACCUGGAAGACUCAAAAAUUCCUCUUGAGCAGAGGAGUCAAGACCUAGAUAAGCAAACAGAAACAGUCAAAUGAAGAACAAUGGAAAGCCAUCUACUGCUCUGUAUUAAUAGGACCACUAACCAUGGUCAUUAAUAAGGCUUCAUAACAAAUCAAACUUCUCAUGAAAUAUGUUCAUGGCAUCAGCCCACUGCUUGUGCAUGACCGAUAAUGAUGUCCAGACGACAUUAAGUAAAUCUUCGAUGUCAGAAAACUGUCGAGCAAUUUGAUGAAAUUCAUUUUUACUGCAGACAGGAAGAGAUUGAGAAUCUAAGGAGGCAUUGGGCUGAUAAAGAUUCUUAGAAAUCUGUUCUCGUUCUAUUUGAGAAUGUUAACAUUCUGGUAAUUGUGUUUGAUAACACUUCAAAAGCAGUUAAUGAAAGGAAAACUACUCUUAAAAUUAGAAUUAUGAACUAAAGACCACUUUUUAGUGUUCACAUUCCACAUGCAAACAUGGAGAUUUCAAUUAAGUAAGCCUAUUUUCCUAUUGUGACAAGCAUAUUCUCACAACUUUCAUCCCUUACAACAUACAUCAUGUUCACUCAACAAAUUUCUUGUGAAAAAACAUUGAAAACAGUUUCUAUAAAAAUGUAAUCGAAAACUUAGCAGGCCUCUAAUGGUAGAGAACAAAAAUGACAAGUAAAUCAUGCGACAAUGUUUAAAAUUUUGCAAGAGUAACUCCUGCAUUUUUGUCCCACUACUUUCAACAUCUAAACUACAUUGACUUCCAGAGGUUUCUAUGGAAAGAUAGUAUGACACUUAAAGGUCGGGUGAAAACCUUAUUAAGCAUGAACAAAAUCAUUCAGGCUAUGAAGUAUGAGGCAUCAUGUUGUUCAGCUUAUGGUGCCUCAAAAUUGCUCUAUGUUAACCAUCAGUUUCGUUUUUAAGGAUCAUGAUCAUAUCGUGAGUUAUGUAAGUUUUACUUUCUGUACAAAGUUGAUACCUUUGAAACAAAUAUCAGUGCAUAUAAACAAUCCUAAUAUAGUCAUCAUAUCAAAUACAAUCACUGCUACAAAAACUAUUUAAAAUAUUAAAAAAAAAAAACUAGAACAGAAGUUUCACCUCAAAUUUGAAUAACACUGAAUCCUGGUGCAAUUUCACCUCUAUUGGAAUAUUGAAGUAUCAAGCAAUUGAUUCAGCAAUGUCUUCAACAAGUUCUCCUGCGCAUGCAACCAUCAAAUAACAAAGGUCCUUGGAUGAAGCCACCUAAUGAAAACAAUUACUAGCCAGCUUGCAUUUCUGGUAGAGGAAGGGCAACGAUCAGCCUAGCAAAUAAGUCUGCUUGCUCUGGUGGAACAUCUAACCUGAUAUCUGGAAUGCUCCAAUCAUAUGAAUAAACUUACAGCUAGUACAUUUGAAGUUUAGCAAACAGCUUCACCGUCAUACGUCUAUCAAAAUAUUAUCCGAGCUGUUUAGCAUUUACUGUGUCAGGUUGUUUUGACAUUUUAACCAAGCCAUCGUCGAAGAAACGAACACACUGAAUUGAAAAAAAAAAGAGAACUUUCUCGAGUCAAAGCAAUUACCAGGAGAGAUUGUCCACAACCUCUACCAAUUGAAGCGAUGAAGCACCCACCUUCGAGUCCUCCGUGACCAUCGCCAGCAAAUCCUUCUCCGAAUUCCAAUCCACCAUCUUCACCUGCCAAUCGCAAGAAAUCGAGCCAAAACCUCACAAAACCGAAUGGGAACACAAUCGAAUCGACCCGCCCAUUAUUAGGUCGCCAAAAAAGGCCGGCCGGAGCCGAACCUGAAAAGCCACCGGUUUGUCGAACUGAAGCUGAAAGGGAAGCACGCGCCGCGACCCUUCGUCGGUCUCCAUGGCUGAAAAAGCUCCGGAAGCAGCCGAAAACGCAGCCACCAGCUGCCGGGGCAAGCCGCGAGGGAGCGUACAGAAGCGGCGGCGGCGGCGGCGGCGGCGGCGGCAAAUGCGAACUGAGAGAGGGAGAGCCGGUGGAGGUUGGAGCCCGAAAAACCCUAGAAGAAAGCCUGAAGAGCGAGACGGAAGAGACGAGCGAGAGAGUAACGAAGUGCACUGGAAGCCUGAGAAUUUUUGCAGAACAGGCGGGAGAGAGACGAUGAGGAAGGAGAGAGGAUCUGAUUACGGGCCGAGCCGGGCCAUUAGUCGGGCUUUAACUUCUUCUCCGGGCUCUUUCCUCAUAGAAAAAAGAACGUGUGCGAUGACACAACGGGCCGCUACGGGCCUUGAAAGUUGUCCGCAUAGGGAGGGAUCACAACAACAUUUACUCGAGAAACUCGAAAGAACUCGGGGUUGAAAGACGUUGGUUAGUCAAAGGUAAUGACCCGCCGUUAAACAUUCUCGCUACUCAAGAUAUAGAGGCCGUGAUGCCAGUGGGGUUUUGCCGUUAGAAAGAGAGGCGUCAGAAUUGUGUAGUUAGAUGAACCACCUAACUAAAGUCCAAGCUCAAUUUGAUCGUUGCUAUCGUUGCUAUCAUCACACUACGAAAGAUAAUCUCAAUUUGCUGUCUAAUAGAAAUUAUCGUGACUUUUUCUUAGACGAGGGCAUUUUUGUUACUUGUCCAUGUAGGACCUUGUUAUCAUUGAUAAUGUUAUUCAUCUGUGGACAAAAUAGUUAUAUUUACUAAUUUUUCAUAAAAUAGUGUCUCUCUACUCCAGUUCUUUCAACAUCUUUCUCCAAAAGGUUCUUUGAUUUUUCACAUGUAAGGAACGUAAGGUAUAUCAUUCAAAGAGCAUGCUCAGAUUCUGCGCUUGUUCUGCAUCGGCAUUGCAACCACGUCGAUCGAGUGCCAUGUAUUGAGUCUUCCUUGUUUCCUGUUAUUUACAGGCAAUAUAGUUACUUUUCGCAACACAUACGCUGUUAAAUUAUGAUGUUAAGUUCCCCCGUUAUCCUCCAUCCAUUUAGACUAUUAGUUUAAUAGGGACGCUAACUUACAAACAUAGUUCGUUCUACAAUUACUAAAAUAGUAGCAGAAGCAAAUUUUACAAGACUACACAAUGGCUGUGAUAGAGGGUUCACCCAAAGGUGUUUUGUGUGACAAACACAAAUUACCUUCUAUCCUUUUCCUAUCAAGAGUGAGGCUUCUCUCCAUAUUCGAGCAAUACUCGUGAUCCUGGCCUUCUCUUCUGGUUUCUCGGUCCUUGAAAUUUUUUACACUAGUUUCUCCCAAACGAGCUUAUGUAAGAUAGCUCGUGCACAGUUUAAUUUAAUACGCGGAUUGCACUGGUAACGAUUUAUUGUUUUAUCAUAUUAUUAAUUUUUGUUGUCACUAUUUCUGCACUUAUUAUGGAUUGGGAUGGAAUACCUUGAUGACGUGAAGAUAUGGAAAGUAAUAAAUGAAGCAAAUCUUACAAUGGAUUUAACUAAAGUCGACGGGGAGUCAUCAUAAAAAUAAUUAAUAAAAUAUCACAUAUGCACAUGUUACAUACAUAUAAUCAUAUAUAAGAAUGCAGUUACUAUCUCAGUGCAGAUGACUGAACACAAAGCUAUUGUGUCUAUAAGAGUUUCUCCUUUAGAUUGGCAAUAAAUCCUAGUGAAUAAAUGAUAAACUUAAAACAAUUUUAAAUUCUUGUAUGUUUAUACAACAUUAAGUUUAUUGGCUACAUGAUACUCUUUGUUAAAAUACAAAACAUGAAUCUUUGUUAAGAAUACAAAACAUAAUCUCGUGAUCUUAAACCUACCAUUUAUUUACAAAUUUCGAAUAUCUGAGAUUGGAUAAUGGUAUGCGUUCUUUAACUAUACAUCUAGCUAGUCAUAUCGAUUAUACUAAUCUAGGAGGUUUGCCCUUUCACGCCAGAGUAUUUUGUACAUUGGAUUGGAUGCAUCACUCAAUAGCAACACAUGGAGAAGCGAGCCAAUUUUAGGUGAUAGAUUUCAACAUUCAUAUGUGAAGUGUAUCGGUUAAUUACACCAUGUAAACCAUCCAACCCAAAGAUAAACAAUCCAAAGCAGUCAUUUAAUUAUCUUAUAUAUGGAAUUAAUAAACAAUAACGCAUGAAGCAUAAGCUGGGCACUAUCAAAGAGCUAUCAAAGCUUGCAGAAAUACAGUGAAUACAGUUAACCCCCAAGAUAGAAGCCACGGGUCAGUAUAUUUCAGCCGAUUCCAUCUAACUAAAUAGAUAAAUAGUUAGCUUUUACUCCACAUUUUCUCUUCGAUGAAUGCCUGCCUAGCGAAGAGGUUCACGGCAGGCAUAAAUUAAAACUCUUCGAAAAGGGGUGGAGCCGAAGAGCUUCAAUCGGAAAGCCCACAUGCAUUGCUUCUCACUUUGAUGCCUCCUGCAGCUUCGAGUAUUAGAGGUCCACCCACAAGCAACAUGAGCAUUACCACUGCAAAUUCACGAACAGACGUUCAUUCUGAAUUUGAGAUUUCAUCUUCAUGCUUGUCCAAGUAUGUAGACCAGGGCCCGGUUUCUUGCAACCAAAACACAAGCUGCGCUCUACUAGCUGUCACAAAAGAAAAUCAACUUGAUUUCACUCCAAUGUUCCUAUAAUAUGGCCAUAACUAAUGCAAAGUUUUGAUACCUCUGCUGGGUAAAAGUAACAAGUACAAUACUUGCAUCACGCUAAAACACAGGCAGAAGCAAUACUUGCGUACCUAAAGAGGCUAUGGUAUGCAUGUGAACCAUGAAUACUCAGCAGUAUCUUGCUAUACUAGAUACCAUGAUAGUAUCAAUCAUCAUGAACAUGUACGUAAUAGUUCUCAGUCAGUAAAUCAUGCUGCAAUGAACCCUAACAUAAGAAGAUAAUUAUUCUUGUUGUGUUUGUCUGGCCACUAAUGAUUCAUCUUUUUCACACUUUCACCUUCCGAUUUAUCUAAAAUUGAUAGGAAAACCUACUACUUUAGCAUUUUACUUCUUCAAAUGAAAAAAAAAAAAAAUUCUUCUUUGGAGCAUCAAUUUGCACAUUUCCAACUGUUGGAACAAGGAUGAAAUGGUCCAUUAAGCACAACGAACCUGUGCCAGUCACAUAUUUAAACUUAAGAGUAGCUUGUAAAAGUGGAAUUUGAGUAAGGAGCAUGGAUAAGAUUAAUUCAAUUCCAACAUCUAGCCAAUGAGAUAUAUUUGUUAAUGACAAUGGCAAGUUUAUCAAACAAUGAUACAAAAAGGAAAGACCAUGGGCAACAAUAAGUUACCAAACAUCCAACCUGCAAAUGGACCUAGUAAGAAACUCAAGGAAUAGAGUUUUUUGACUGUAUGAUUGAUGGCGUGGCAAUGAAUUGAUCCUUAGCUUGAUUGUGUGGGCAAUGUGAAAAAUUCUAAUUCUUACCACUAAUUGACAAGGGCAAACUGCAGUAUGGGAUUGCUGCCAACUUCUCAUUCUUCAUCUCUAGGUGUAGAAUAAAGUCCUCGAUGUGUAAUUUCCCUGGGUGAGUGUUUCAAAAGUGUGAAUGAGACAACCAAGCAAUAGUGUUCUCACAAAAUAGAAGCAAAAGUGGCGGUCAUGUUUUGAUCUAUUUAACAAAGGGGGGCAUGUUCGAAAAGAGUGUUCUUAACAAGAUUUGUUAAGUUUCUAUGCUCAGAAUGACCUAUCUAGCAGUCCACUGUUAAUUUGACAUUAGGAGACAUGACCCAUAAACACGGAUUGCCAUCUCCAUUAGCAGCUAAAUGUUUGUUGAGCAAGCUUCUGUUUGCAAUGCAUCAUGUGGCUUUUGAGCAAUUUAGAAUCUUUCCAAAGAGAGAUUAGAGAAGAACACAUUCUGAUGAUAAGGGAUUGUUGCAGGAAGAUUUCUAAGUGAGAUGUAGGGAGGAUAAUGUUAAAGUAAUAACAUAGCAAACUUACUUCAACGUGAAACUGUACCAUCUUCUAGUCCCAAGGCAACAACUUUGCCAUCAGGAAGCCAGCAUAAUGAUGUUAUGCAUUUACCUGGAGUAAAUUAGAAUAGUUAAGAUAAUCCAGUAUAACGACAUAAAAUGGAAUGUGCAACGAAAAGUGAUUUCAUAAACAACAACAAGAAGGCCGAUGACUCAAAGGGCACGCACACUAGCUAUCGUCGAAGAAACGAACAUACUGAAUAAACAAAAAAAAGGAGAACUUUCUCGAGCCGAAGCAAUACCAAGGAGAGAUUGUCCAUGGCCUCCGCCAAUUGAGGCGAUGAAGCACCACCUUCGAGUCCUCCGUGACCAUCGCCUGCAAAUCCUUCUCCGGAUUCCACUCCGCCAUCUUCAUCUGCCAAUCGGAAGAAAUCGAACAAAAAUCUCACAAAACCGAAUCGGAAACAAAUCGAAUCAACCCGCCCAUUAUUAGAUCACGAAAGAAGGCCGAAACGGGAGCCGUACCUGAGAAGCCAGCGGCUUGUCGAACUGAAGCUAAAAGGGAAGCACGUGCCGCGACCCUUCGUCGGUCUCCAUAGCUGAAAAAGCUCCAGGAGCAGCCGAAAAUGCAGCCACCAGCAGCUGGAGCAAGCAGCGAGGGGGUGUACAGAGAGCUAGUGGAGGGUAGAGCUCGAAAACCCUAGAAGAAAGCUUGAAGACCAAGACAUUCUGCCUCGAGCCCUUCCCCACGUCCCUCGUUCGACAGCCGAUUACGCCUCCACGAGGCCGCGCACGAUCAAGAGCUCCUCUGUUCCCGACCGGCUCGACGAAUCGCGCCCCGAAUCGGAGUCGCCUUCGACGGAGAGCACGGACCGGAGGCCGGAAACUCGGACCGACGGGGAGCGGAGGAGCUGGAGGUCAACCUGACGAUCGUGCCGACGGCAGCCGGAGCGAGGGUCGGCGGAGACAACGAGGAAGAGAAGAGAAUUUGAUUACGGGCCGAGCCGGGCCGGAUUGGGCCAUAAGUCGGGCUUAACAGGUGGCCCUUCGGGCCCGGGUUCAGGCCCGUCAGACUACUGAUCAUGUCAAGGCGCAGCCCAUUUAUAGAGUUUUUUACGUGGAGUUUAGGAGUAAGCCACGGAACCAGUGAACUUCAGAACAAUAGAGAAAGAGAGUUGGGCUUCGCGUGAGAAACCGAGGGUAAAAUGAAGAGCAUGACUCCGUUUUUUUUGUAAAAAAUUAAUAAUUUAGAAAAUAUUUUUUUAAACUUAAUCAUCUUUAUUUUUUAAAAAUGAGUCGAUAAAAAAGUAAUUUUCAUUAUUAACAAUAAUUCGUGUCAAACAUUUUUGUUAAUGAAAAUAUUUUCUGUUACCACUUUUUCAAGGAAAUGUAAAUGAUCAAAAUUAGGAAAAAGAUCUUUUCCAAAUAUUGAUUUUUCAAGACACGAACAAAGCCUUAGAGAAUGUGUCUUUGUAUGAACUAGUUUGCUCUGAGUGCUUUUUCUAGUGAUGUGAGAAAUUCAAUUAUAAUAGUGAGGUGCAGUAUUUUGCUGGUCAUAAUGUACACUAGUUGUGUGAGAUAAUCAUUUUUUUGAGUGUGUUGUUUGUACUGUUAUGUGUGUUUCAAGUUACCUAUUACAAUUUUCUCAUGUUACUAGCACCUUGCUUUCGCAUCCAUUAACUGGUAUUAGAGACUUCACUUAAGUCUUUGUCCAUCUGCUAAGUCAAGGUGAGCGAUGACAUGAUUAAGAUUUUGAUGGGUGGCCCUGUUCUUAAGUACUUACAUUUAAUUGAGAAACUUGAAAGAGCUUGAGAUUGAUAGAUGUUGGCCAAUUGAAGCUAACGAUUUGCUGUUAAAGAUUCUCGCUUCUUGCUGUCUUCGUGAGUAACAUGAUGUUUUCCGCGAUCAAAAGAUUAGGAUAGUUGAAGCCUUGCGUUGAUUCUUUCUGUCAGUUGAAAUAGCAAUGCUCUCAUGAAAACUAAAAACUAAAGAGAUUACAAUAAAUGUCAGAAGAAUUAGUACUGCAACUAUCAUCACCAAGAUAAGCCAUCAAAACACGCACCAUUUGAAUAUUUUACCACAACGAAAGUUAUACUUUAACUUAUGAUGAACUUUGAAAAAACUUGAAGUUGAAAAAACUUCGCACUUAGGUGUCCCAUCUUUAAAAAAAAAAAAAAAAGUGAUACUUAAAUGUCAUUUUCCUAAUUACAUGCUAAGUUUUGAGAUUUAAGUGUCCUCUUAUACCAAGUUUUGGCAUUUGAGCUAUUUUUUUACUUAUAAAUAAGUCUAACAUCCCCUAGGCUCUAAUAGUAAUAUUAGUAGGUGAAAAGAUUUGAAAAUGAUUCUUUGGUACAAAAAUUGACUCGCAAUUAUGAGGGGAUAUAUGCUAAGAUAGAAGUGGGCAAUAAACUUUUUCCUUUUAAAUUGAGAACAAAUCUCUACACCUGCUAAUUAUAAUGUGAAUGUAUAAACAUUCUAUAUUCAAAUCUCCAUGUAGAGUACACUUAAAGCUCAAACUUAGAUCAAGUAUAAGUUCAAACCAAUGAUUAAUGACCUACAAUUUCCUUUUUACACUUAUAGGAGAGAUUGCCAACUUGUUGAAUCAAACUCAAAUCAGAUUUUACUUCACCCUUUCCACCCAUUUAAUGUUGGUAAUUCAUAUCAUUGCAUAUGAUAUGUUCGUAUGAAGAAUCAACAUCAAGAUGAUCUGAAAUAUAUGGCAUGUCUCAAGAUGUGUGAAGCAUGACUUACUGUAAUAGAUUUCUAUCUCUAUCUAAUCACUACGAAGAUUAUUCUCCAAGAUGCAUGAAACUUAAUUAUUUGGGAAAAAGGCCAAUUGCAAAGAUGAUAACGUGCACCUGCAGAUGAUUGAGGACAACCAACUGAAGUCCUUUUCCAACACCACAAACUUUUGAUACACGCAUCAUUCCCCAUAACUGAACAAACUAGCAAACUAAAAAAGCAACCAAAGAAGCCAAAGUUCUAUAGCAUCAUCAGAGCUUAAAAAAUAAACCAUACCACUUCACCCGGAGAAUUAACAAGAAAGUGAUGGAUUGCAGGANNNNNNNNNNNNNNNNNNNNNNNNNNNNNNNNNNNNNNNNNNNNNNNNNNNNNNNNNNNNNNNNNNNNNNNNNNNNNNNNNNNNNNNNNNNNNNNNNNNNUCACAAACCGAAGAUGACUUUUUAGUAUUCUCAUUCCAAAUGCAAACGUAGAGAUUUGGAAUAACUAAGCCUGUUUUUGGAAUGUGAUGUAACCCGAGCAUAUUCUCACAAUUUUCAUCCCUAAUGACAUAUUUCAUUUUCACUUAACAAAUAUUUUAUCAAAAAAAAAAAAAGAACAUCAAAAACAGUUUCUAUGAAGAUGGAAACUGAGCAGGCCUUAAACAGUCGAGAACAAAUCCUCCUCUAGAUUCCACUCCGCCAUCCUCACCUGCCAAUCGGAGGAAAUCGAGCAACAACCUCACAAAACCGAAUCGGAAAACAAUCGAAUUGCCACCGCCCAAACAGGAGCCGAACCUGAGAAGUGAAAGCGGUCCGUCAGAACUUGAAGCUGAAAUGGUAGGGCGUGGUGUUGGAACAGAGCUGGUGUUACGCUCGAUCUGAUAGUCGGAGGAAGGAGGCAGGGGCGGAUCUUUUUCUUUUUCUUUUUCUUUUGUUUAUGAAAAUUAAAAAUUGAAAUAUCCUUUUCUUUUUCCCUAUCUUUUACUUAUUUUAAGGACGUGUUUCACAUUGGAAUAUGAAUGGUUUGAUUUUUUUUUUUUUUUGGCAAAGAAUCUUCUUGAUUAAUAGGUUAAUUUUCAUAGUCACAACCAGAUGCAAAACAAAGAAACCCUCAUUCGGCUCUAUUUCCCUGUCGAUUUCAUUUUAUUUUUCUGUUCCAUUUCUCUAUUUUGUACCUUCAAUUUUAUCAUGUCAAAUGGAUCAUGAGUUCUUUAGAACAUGUAUGAUCAUUUAUCGACUAGUUCCGAAAAGUAUUGGAUUUUGUUAUAAUCUUCGUUGUUCUGGUAGAGGAAAGUUUGUAAUAUUUGAUACGACAAAGAUUGAUUGAAUCGAUGAUCGGUAAUCGCUUAAGAGUAUCCGGUGGUUUCUUUUUUGAAAUUCGUUACUAAAACGAUGGAAUCGAGGAAUUCCUUUUUACCCUUUCUCCUUUUUGUUGAGCAAAUGAAGACUGAUGAGACUAAACCAUAUGCUACGAACACGUCAACGUCUAUCUUUUGUUCGUUCAGUUUUUGCGUUGCUUAUACCUGAUAUCAACUUUUGUUAGUUGCUCUACAAAUUAUCCAGAAAUAAAAUCGCAAAAAUUCUUAAAAUGAACAAAAGAAAAGAAAAACUACAAACAGAGUGGCUCAGCAACACGAAAAAGGAAAAAAAAAAAAAAAGGAAGACGAAAAAUUGAAAGAAAAAAGCAGUGCAUUGAAAAAAAUCGUAAAUUUUCUUCAUAGAGUAUUGGAUUUUCUAACCAUCAUUGGCCGAAUCUGUGCCUUCGCCGGUGUCUUGGCAGCCCCAGACUCUCGCCAAGACAUCAUCGACGAGCAAACCGCCGCUCGUGCUGAAGUAGGGGUCGGCCCGAUAACCUGGGGUCGUGCAGUCGCGGCUUACGCUCAGAAGUACACGGACGAGCCUAGAGGUGACUGCGACCUCGAGCACUCCGGAGGGCCCUACGGCAAGAACCUAGUCAAGGGCUAUAGUGUCCUGAGCAGCAGAGACUCGGUGAAGAUGCGGGCGGGAGAGAACGACAACUACGACUACUGCUCGAACUUGUGCGUGGGAGGCGAGUGCCUGCACUACACUCAAGUCGUGUGGUGCAACUCGGUUCGUCUAGGAUGCGCUAGAGUGAAGUGCGAUAACGGGCGGUGGUCUACGAUCCUCCUGGCAAUUACGGACGGCGAGCGGCCGUAUUGAACGGUCUAUACAAGUUCUGAAUAAACUCUUAUGAUUUAGACGAUUCUACAAAACCACACCACUCCCUAUUUGAGACAUACAUAUCGUAAGCCUACUGUCACCAGACGACACUUCCUGCCAAGAAGUUCCUACCUUUGCAUCUCUCCCGUUAUCAUAUAGAAAGUCACACAACAAAACACAAAUCAUCAUAACUCAACAAUCUCGGUAGGCUUUCUCGAUUUCUUUUUCGAUUGUUUGUUUCUGAUCCCUCCAUACGAAUCCUUUUUGCCAGAUCUGACAUUGCGUGCUUUGUGGGAACUCCCGCUUGGCAAAUACUGUGCUCAUCAUCAUCAUCGUCGCCGGUAGUAUCUUCUGAGUCUGUUUCGCCAGUGCUAGAAGCCAACGGAUUCGGAGGUUAACAACUUGCCACUGCAGAUUCUACAGCUACUACUGCUUCAGGGGUAUGAAGAUCCGCGAUUCCCAGCAUCAAGUUCUGUUUCGUUAAUUGCUCUACAAAUUAUCCAUAAAUAAAUUCGCAAAAGUUUCAAAAUGAACCAUAUAUAUAUAUAUAUCCAAGCAGAACACCGCAGCAACACAAAAAAGAAAAAAAAGAUGAUGAUGACAAAAAUGAAAGUGAAAGUAAAAUGUUCUUUGCGUAGUCGCUUAAUAAGUGUUUGGGCAUUUCUUUUACGAAAUCCUAUAGCUUUCUACAUUUUUAUCUUUUGGUUCUGUUGUAGAACAAAACGAUGUACUUUUUGCACACUAGCAUAUGUUGUUGCUGAUUAAAAAGAAAAGAAGAAAAUCUAUAAGAUAAGCGUGGAUCGAGUGGUCCACCCAUUCAUGUUUCAAUCUUCAAAUUGCAUAUGGCCCAUAUGUAUGCUUGUGUGUUGAGAUCAUACGAUGUUCGUGACGGAUCAAAUCGCUACACUUUUAUCUACCAAUGGGGGUGAUACAUGUCCAUCACUCUCGAUUUCCAAUCAAAAAGAUAAAGCUGAGAUCAAUUCUAGAAUAUUGAUUUGUCUUGAAUUGCUAACUAAAAUCCUUCGCGGAAAGCGAAUGAUAUGAAAAAUACUUUUCAAAAAAUAAUCGCUCGUAUAGUUACAAAAAAUGAACGAAUGCAAAAAAUUAAAGUCAUGUAUGAAAAUAUUUAAAUAUAAAUUAUCGUCAAUAAUGAGAUGUAUUUCAAUAAUUUCAAGUAAUACUAAUGAUCAUUUUUAGGGAUAUAUUUUUCAAAUCAUUCAUUUUCUAUAGAACAAAAGGAGUCUUAAUUCACGUCAAUUUACAAAUAAUAUCAUAUAUGGCAAGAUGUGUUCAGGUUUGUCUAAGAAUCGAUAUCGUUUAAUUCAGGUCCAUAUGUUCAAUGGUAAUCUCGCACACUUCCCAACAACAACGAAGUGGCCUGACAAGAAGGCGACUUGGCUCUGUUCCAGCAGAGCUGGUACAAAAGCGUAGGACUCAUGGGACAUCACAUUGAUGCGAAUGUGGCGGUGGAUUAGUUGUGGAAUUUGUAAUUUGGAAAAAGCAAUGCGGUCAUCCUCACUUCAGAUAACCUAAAACAAAGAGGCAAAAUACUAGUUAACUGACGUUUCCUCCUUGCGGAGGAAGAGAAUCCGUGCGGCAUCUCCUCCUCCACCGUUUAUGGACAAGAAAGGUUUGGACAAUUUCCGAUGCUUGCACCGAAUGAUCUUUGGGUUAUUGGAGCUUUCAUAGAGCAAGAACCAUGGGCUUGGCAGGGCACUCGCUUACAAUGCCGCAAGAAAAGAAGGAUUUAACUCAAUUCCCCAGGCGGGAUAAUUCCCGUUAUGGGGCAUUCAUUUCAGAAUUCAGAACCCAAAUCUUCUCGAGGCCUAUCAAACUAUGUUUCGCAAGUUUCAUGCCCAUCAUUUUGUUGCUUGUACAUAUAAGACUCGACACAAUUCUAUCUUAUUCGAUAUCUGGCAACCAUCCACCUUACACAAGAUAUCCAUAUCUCCAUUUAUAGUACUCUGAAAGCCCAAACUUAGAUCAAGUCUAAAUUCAAACCAUUAAUAAUGACCUAUAAUUUCUAUUAUAUGCUUAUAGUAGAGAUUGCCAACUUGUGAAAUCAGAAUCAAAUUAGAUUUUACCACACCAUUUCCAGCCAUAUAAUGCUAGUAAUCCAUAUCAUUGCAUAUGAUAGGUUUGUAUAAGAAUCCAACAUCAGGAUGUUCUGCAAGAUAUGGCGUGUCUCAAAAUGUGUGAAGCAUAAUCCAAGAAUGUUCUAUGCGAUCCUUAAAACUCAAUAAUUUCUCAGAGAGAGGCCAAAUGCCAAGGUAAUACGUGUGCCUGCAGAUGAUUGAGGACAACCAGCUCAAGUUCCUUUUCAGCACCACAGGCAACUUUUGAUACACGCUUGAUACCCUACCAUUGAACAAACUAGCAGACUAAGAUUAUAAAAACUAACCAAAAAGAACAGAAGUCCCACAAUGACACUGGAACUUAAUAAAAAAAACCAGCUUUACCACUUCACCCAGAGAAUUAACAAGGAACUUAUGGACUGCAGGACUGAUCCUAGCACCACCUAGAAGACUAAACAAUUCCUCCUAAGGAGAAGAGUCAAGACCUAGAUAAGCAAACAUAAACAAUCAAAUGAAGCACAAUGGAAAGCCAUCGACUGCUCUGUUUUAACAGGACCACUAACCAUGGUCAUUAAUAAGGCUUGUUAACAAAUCAAACUUCUCAUGAAAUAUGUUCAUGACAUCAGCCCACAGCUUGUGCAUGACUCAUAAUGAUGUUCGGAUGACAUGACAUAAAUCUUCGAUGUUGGAAGCUUGUUGAGCAACUUGAUGAAGUUCAUUUUUACUGCAGACAGAAAGAGAUUGAGAAUCUAAGUAGGCAUUCAGUGGAUAAGGAUUUCAGAUAUCUGUUCUCAUUUUAUUUGAGAAUGUAAACAGUCCAAAAAAUGUGUUUGGUAACACUUCGAAAACAGUUGAUGAAAGGAAAAAUAUCAAUAAAAUCAAAAAAAAAAAAAAAACUGAAGACGACUUUUUAGUGUUCACAUUCCAUGUGCAAAUAUGGAGAUUUGGAAUAACUACGCCUAUUUUCUUAUUGUGAUGGAACAUGAGCAAAUUCUUAUAACUCUCAUCCCUUACAACAUACAUAAUUUUCACUCAAAAAUUUUCUGUGAUAAAACAUUGAAAAUGGUUUUUAUAAAAGUGGAAACAAAAAUAUCAUAGAAAACUUGGCAGGCCUCUAAUUGUAGAGGGUACAAAAAUGACGUGUGAAUCAUGAGACGAUGUUCAAAAUUUUGCUAUCGUAACUCCUGCAUUUUUGUCCCACCACUUUCAACAUCUAAACUUCAUCGAUUUCUAGAGGUUUCUACUGAAAGAUGGUAUGAUACUUAAAGGUCGGGUGAAAACCUUAAGCAUGAACAAAAUUAUUGAGGCUUCAAGUAUGAGCCAUCGUCUUGUUCAGCUUAUGGUGACUCUUGAAAGUCAACUUGGGCAUUUAAAAUUAUCAGAGAGAAAGUUCUUCUAUCUAGCAAAGUUUAGAGUUAAUUCCAAGAAAAAUUCCUCAAAAUUGCUACGUUAACCAUUGGUUUUGUUUUAAGGAUGAUGAUCAUAUCCCGAGUUUUAUGAGUUUUACUUUCUGUAAAACCAAACAAAGUUGAUACCUUUGAAGCAAAUAUCAGUGCACAUAAACAAUCCUAAUAUAAUCAUAAUAUCAAAUAUAAUCGGUCAAUCGCUACUAUAUAUAUAUGUAUAUAUAACACUAGAACAAAGUUUCAUGUAAAAUUUGGAUAACACUAAAUCCUAGUGCAGUUCUACCUCUAUUGGAAUAUUGAAGUAUCAAGCACUAAGCAAUGGAAGCCAUGCAUUCUGUUUCCAACCGUUUGACCCCACUCUCGAUUCAACAAUGUCUUCAACAAGUUCUCCUGAGCAUGCAACCAUCAAUGACAAAGAUCCUUGGAUAUAGCCACCUAAUGAUAACAAUUACAUGCCAGUUAGCUUGCUCUGGUGAAACAUCUAACAUGAUAUCUGGAAGAAUCCAAUCAUAGGAAUAAAAUUACAGCAGGUCCAUUUGAAGUUUAGCAAAAGCUUCAGCAUCUUACAUCUAUCAAAACAUUAUCCAAGUUGUUUGGCAUUUUAACCAAGCCAUCAUUGAAGAAACGAACACACUGAAUAAAGAAAAAGGAGAACUUUCUGGAGACGAAGCAAUUACGAGGAGUGAUUGUCCAUAGCCUCUGCCAAUUGAAGCGAUGAAGCACCCACCUUCGAGUCCUUCGUGACCAUCGCCAGCAAAUCCUUCUCCAAAUUCCACUCCCGCCAUCUUCACCUGCCAAUCGGAAGAAAUCGAGCAAAAACCUCACAAAACCAAAUGGGAAAACAAUCGAAUCUACCCGCCCAUUAUUAGGUCGCGAAAGAAGGCGGACCAGAGCCGAAAUUGAGAAGCCAGAGGUUUGUCGAACUGUAGCUGAAAGGGAAGCACAUGCCGCGAACCUUCGUCGGUCUCCAUAGCUGAAAAAGAUCCGGGAGCAGCCAAAGCGUCAGGUGGCAAAUGCGAACUGAGAGGGAGAGCCAAUGGCGGAGGGUAGAGCCCAAAAACCCUAGAAGAAAGCCUGUUGGAAGAGAAGAUCGAGAGAGUAACGAAGUGCGCUGGAGCCUAAGAAUUUUGCAGAGAAGAUUGCGGGAGAGGAAGAACAGGUGGGAGAGAGACAACGAGGAAGAGGAGAGAGAGAGAGGAUACGGGCCGAGCCGGGCUGGAUUGGGCCAUAAGUCGGGCUAAACUUCUUCUCCGGGCUCGUUCAUCAUACGAAAAAUAACGUAAGAGAUGACCCAACGGGCCGCUAAGGCCUCAAACGGUCCGGACCACUUUCGAUAACUCGAGAGUUGAGAUUAAACCGAACGGGGUUUGGUUCAGGCAUUUCAUCAAACGUUUGAAGCGCGCUGGCUGAAAGAGGGGAAAACCGAGUACCAACUCGCGCCGAGACUCGCAAUAAUAAUCAACAAGCAGUAGUGAUCCAAAACAGUAGCGCACAGACGAAUGGGGCCGGUGCUCGCGCGAACCGGACGACGAGGAAGCCUGGUCCGGUGAGCCCGAAACGGGGCAAGGCAGGGGCACAAACAGGGGUGUCGGCCGAGAGUCCCUACCCAGCUCAAGAGCGCGGCCAGGAGUCGUCAGACGGGGUUCGGGCGUGACCGGACUACCGGAGGGCUCCUCGCUCUCAAACUCUCUCUCUCUCUCUCUCUCUCUCUCUCUCUCUCUCUCUCUCUCUCUCUCUCUCUCUCUCUCGGUCGCUCUCACGGUCUCUCAACCCUUGUCUAUUCCCUCUCUCACUCUAUUUCUCUCCAAAAAUCUUCCCUUUUAAGUUCUCUACCCGGUGCGCAUGGCUUCCUACCACACAAGCUGUCGCCGCCGGUCUUUCUCCGACCACCAACUCCGGUGAGACGCUCGUCGUGUUCUCGCGUCACUGUCCUCGCGGUGCGGACCCCCCUCCACUUUUUUUUUUCACAUUUUUCCCCUUUUUCAAUGAUCUAUAUAUAUUUAUAUAUAUAUAAUACUUUUAAUAAAUUCUAGCACCUUACAACUUUAUUGUAUAUAAAGCAUGGCUCUAACGCCAAUUGCCAACUUAUGAAUGCUUCUGUCAAGAAGGUACACUAUGACCAUUGUCGCCUCUCGAGAGCCUCAUGUUCCUUCAACUGAUGGGUUAAUGAUAGUUGGCCUUUUUUGCUCUGAUAUGACUAAUUUUACUUUCCUUCCUAAUUAGUCUUCCAAUAUCUUUCAACUUCAUGAUACGGUAAAUUGUCUUUUCUUUAGUUUUUUUUCCAUGCAUUAGGAAAUGAAAAAUACAAGUAAACCUUAAGAGACACUUUCUGAAGACUGAUGAUCACGUUAAACUUAGAGUUAUACAAAAUAAUCUAGAUUAAAUUUAGCAAAAAAUUACUGCACCCACGUUAAUGCUUUUGGCCUAUUUCAGCAUUUAGUUUAUCAUGCCUUAGUUAUUUUAAAUCGCAUGCUCUCAUGGACUUCACACAUUGGUGUGACACUUUUAUGGGAUUGGGAAGUGGAAGGAAAUGUUUUUAAAGGCGAUGAUUCAAUGGAUGUUAGGACUAGUUAUUGGUGCAGCCUUGUGGGUAGAAGGUUGAGGGCUUUUAUUAAUCAACUAUAUUUUAUAUUCUAUUUUAAUGAUUUAAUUAGAAACAAGAGAGUACAUGUAUUUAUUAAGAAUGUUUUCAAAAGUAACUGUGUCUGCCCUUGCAGGACUCACAUAAAUGGCAGUGUUCCACUACUCAUGUGUCACAUUGAUCUUAGAUAAUAAGGGCGCGUUUAGUAACCAUUCUGUUAUGGGGAACAAUUUUUGAACAUAAAUAGUUUUUUCUAUUUCUAUUCUCGGGAACAAUUUCUGAGCAAAAGAAUGUGUUUGGUAACUGCAUAAAAUUUCUAUUCCUGGGAUAGAAAUACAUUUGGUAAAAUUUUUAGAUUUUUUUAUUUCUUUUAAUUUUUUUAAUUUUUUAAUUUUUUUAAUUUUUUUUUAAUUUUUAUUAUUUUUUUUUGUUUUCAUUUUCUCUUUGGCCGGUCGCUGGCCACCGCUAUGGCCGGCAAUCAGCUGGGCGACAUUCGAUGAGCUCACCGGAGGCCAGCCUGGCCUCGGCGAGGCUUGGCCUCGCCUAGGUGGUGCGAGGUCGACCUCGCCCUAGCCUAUCGAGGCCCAGCCUUGCGUCGGCUGGGGAGGCCAAGCCUCGCCAUGCCUUGGCCUCUUCGGGGGCUGGCGAUGCUCCGGUGAGGUCGCUGACCCUCGUUUGGCCGGUCGCUGGCGUCGGCCAAAAGGAAGAAGAAGAAGAAAAGAGAAGGAAAAAAAAAAUAGAGAAUUUUUUUUUUAAUUGUUCUCGAGAAUAAGAAGUAACUUUUUUCUACUUCUUGUUUCUGUUCCAAAUCUAUUCCCGAGAACAAAAAAAAUAGAUUUUUUUGUUCCCAGGAACAAAAGUUUUACCAAACACGUUUCCGUUCUUUUUGGUUCCCCAGAAUAAAAGAACGGAAAUUUUUGUUCUGAGGAACAGAUACACUUUUUAACAAACGCGCCCUAAUGUGAUAAAAAUUGUUUUAUCCCACAAAAUUGAGCUGUGGACAGAUGUUUAUUUAUUUGUAUAUGUUAAGCAUACUUAUUGUCAUUUUCUAAAAUUCAUUACAUGUUAUAAAUGAGUUUUUGAUUGCCCAUAAUUUCUUGCUCAAAAUGCUUCAGUUGGCCUCACCAGAUUUGGUGAAGGGGGCCUCGCCUUAGCAAGGCGUGACUAGCGCUUGCCCUCGCCUAGGCGUGGCUUGACAAGGCUGACCCUCACCAGCCAUGGUUGUGGCUGGUGAUUGGCAAUGGCCACCGGAGAAAAGAAAAGGGAAAGGAAAAAAAGAAAAAAGAAAUCAAUAAAUUCAAGAAUAUUAUUAAAAUAUUAUUAAAAAUGUCAAUCUCAGCGCCAAUCGCCCGAUUGACGUUCAUGUCAACAAUUUGUAGUCUAAAUUGACCUAAUAAAUUGAAUUGGUACUAAUAUGAAAAAAGGUUUAAGGUUAAAUUGGUCAAAUCGAAAAGUUUAUGACUGAAUUAGUACCAAUGCAAUAUAUUUAAAACUUUUUUUAGUACUUUUUCCCUCGAUAGUGGUAUCAAAGCUAGGCGGUCAAGGAUUGACUAGACUUCGCUCGAGUCCUUGUCCAUCUGCCAGGCAAGGUGAGCAAUGACGUGAUCGAGAAUAUUUUGAUGGGUGGCUGUAUUCUCGAGCACUUAUACUUAAUUGAGAAACUUGAAGAAACUCGAAACUAACUUUACCUGAGCAUCUUUAGAAGCAAGAUGAUAUCUUUCAAAAAGAGGGUUGUUACUGCCAACAUUGAACCUUUCAAAUUGAGCAAAUUGAGCAAACUUCAUGAAACCGAGUGGAAACCAAGUCGAUUGCCCGUUAGGUCGUGAAAUAAUGCCGACCAGGAGCUGAACUUGAGAAGCCAUUGGUUUGUUGAACUAAAGCUGAAGCUGAAGCACGCGUUGCAGUCGUUCAUAAACCUCCAUAGCCAAAAAGGUCCACGUGCAAUUGAAAAACACAGCGCUGGGCCGAGAACAAUUUGCAAUGAGUGUACAGAAGUGUCGAUGGAAAAUGUGAGCUAAAAGAGAGCUUGUGAAGGAUAGAGCUUGAAAAACCCAGAGGAAGGCUCGAGGCUAGUAGGAAAGAAUAGAGCUAAAGAGCAAGUCAAAGAAUGGAAGAUCAAGAGAGUAAGAAAGUCCACUAGAGUCUGAAAUCAUGCAGAGAAAAUUGCAGAAGAGGAGCAGGCGAGAGAGAAAAAUAAGAGAUAAAGACAUGAUUACAAAAGUGAAGGCGGACUCAUUUGAUUGAUGGGCAGGCUGAGCCGGGCCGGCUCAUGCCAUAUGUCAGAUGGAACUUGUUGUCUAGGCUCAUUUUAUUAUGAAGAAAAGUAUGCGAUUUCAAAAUGAAUUGAGUUACCAAAGUGUUGGGUUAACUUGUAACCAGUGGCCACCUUUCUUAUGCAUCCGUUUUCAAAUUGAUCAAAAUCAUAAUGAAUUGAGAACCAUAUAAGCAAAUUUCAUUAAAUUUAAAUUAAUGGAAAGACGAUAUUGAACAUAGGGUUUAGAUUAAACAUUAAGUAAAUCAAAAGUUUAUGGAUGACAUUGCACCUUUGACUAAUGGACUAUUUAUGUCUUUUUUUCCUUUUGUUAGAGCUAAUUCUUUAUUACAAAACUAAAGCAACAUCAAUUGAGCUUUAAUAUACCACUAGAAGCACGAUCUCAAAUGCGCAUCAAUUGGGCUCCGGAGACCUUCUUCACACUAGAAACAUUUUCUACUCCUAUUCCAACAACUUUGUUGGGGUAGUUAGGUAACAAUUCACUAAUAACUAAUCCAAUCCACAAUCAAUUCUUCCCCAAAAUUAAACUAACCAAAAUGGACUUAACGCCAACAACAACUAGCUGUGUAUUCCAGCGCUAUGAUCUCGAAAUAAAUAAAUAUAAUGCUGAAAUGUUUUUUUUAAAAAAAAAACAAGGCAACAAUAAUACUAAAAUUUUUAUGUGGAAAAUCCAAUGGGGGAAAAUCACAAACCGCUCAAGAACUUUCACUAAUCACUAAGAAUAGUAACAUCGGCAAUACAACAAUAUUUCAUCAUUAUUGAGGUGGAUUAAUACAAAUAGAGCAAGAAACUUUAACCAUGAUCGUAGAAAAUGAGAGACAACUUGGAGAAGGUUUUUGACGAACGAAAUUGAUCAACUCAUAGGCCUCAGUCUCACGAACAACAUUCUAAAAUUGAGCCAAUUCCAAUUUUGUCAGGCCUCCGGAUAUGGACCCAAAAAUCGCUGCCCCUUUUUCUUCUUCUCGUGGAACUCUCUCUCUUCCUUAUAUUCACUUCACAAUCGCCCCCCACCCCCCCCCCUCCCCCCCCCCUUUUUUUUUUUUUGUCUUUUUGACAUUUUGACUUUUUUCAUUUUCUUUGAUGUUAUGUUUGCUAAACCCCACAAAGAGACGGCCCCAGCCAACAAUCCUCCAUCACUCUAGUAGCAAAAUCAAUAGGAAUAAGAUCUUGGUCUCACAAAACUUUGAUUCGGAGACCAUCGACUUGACAGCAGCUUCCCAUAGUAAGAAUUUCUAAUUUCUUUAUCAACCACACAAACUUUAGCAGGCAAGCAUCGAAUUGCUUCUACUUUAGCAUGAAGAUCCACACUUGAAUCACAAACAACUCUCUUUAAACUCCAAUAGACCUCCAUAUAGUGUCAACUACGAUACACUUAAAAUACAACCGUCCGAUUCAUCGGCCAUUAUAUCAAACGAGUUGGCUAGACUUUCAGUAUUUAAGAAACCUCUCAAGUUAGCGGACAGUUUUAGCUCCACAAAGCUUUUGUUAAAUAUAAUCAGCGCAAUGUGGGAUGAAAAUAUGCAAGUGUCCUUUCUCAUUCCAAGAAUGUAUUGUCAAGAGUUUGGAGAAGUUCAAGAAACAAAGAGCAACCGGUCCUUUAAAGAUCUCAAAAAUCUUCCAUAAACUCGUAUUAAAGCUGCUCGACUAUGAAAUAAGAUUCCAAGUUGGAAACUUAACUACAAACAAAAAUCUAGAAAUAAUUUGGAAGAUAUGAAGAAUAAAACAUUGACCGUUAAGAAUCAAGAUCAAGAAGUCGUAUCAAAGCAAUUUCAGAGUCAUCUUAUAGAGCCAUACAAAGAAAUGAUUAGCAUGAAAAAGUAGUUUUACUUUGCACAUGUGGAUCUCUUGAUAAUAUAUGUAGUUUCAUAUGAAAGGUAUAUAUCCAACGGAAGGACAAUGAAUUGGGAAUAUAUCUGGUGGUGCCAAAAUAGACGUAGGAGGGAAUAGUGGCAAUAAAUUCUAACAAAAUAUAUUUUUCGAAAUGGAAGAGAAAUGCAUUUGGGCAGCUUCCUUGAAAAUAUGAUGAUUGAAUUAAUUCCUAAUCAGGAACAUGAGAUCAGUAUUUCUAUGCACAAGGAUAGUAAGCUAAGCAGAGAGCCAAGUCUGAUAAGAUCACCCAGCUAAAGCUUCCAUGUACAUUAUCAAGUGAUCAAACUUGAGAUCAAAUACAGAAAACUAGAUUAUUAGAUAGAGGGUAGGUGAAAAACCAUUGUUGAGGACAACCUCCAGAAGAAAACCCCUAACCUUGAAUGCUUUCCUUUUCUUUCUCUCCAUCUUCUCUCAUUAUAGUCUCAAGGUUCUAGUCACUCAGGCAAAGAAAUGAAAAAUAUCGGUAAAACUUCAUGGUAAUGGGCUUGAAAUAUUUAUAGACAAACCCCAUUUAUAGAAGUUCUGAAUCAGCCAAAUGAGAAAUGGUUAUUUUAGCUCAAAUACUUGCAAUUGUCACAGAAACCAAUUUUGAGUCCUGUUAAUCAUACUCAAAAUCCUAUUAUGCAUACAAAGAGAUCCAAAUUUCACAUUUGGUACACAUAUCAGCAAUGACGACCAAACUUGAAGAAGGGGGAGGUUAGGGGGGAGCAAUCACUUCAAACAACAAAUGACAACAAUGAUUUAUCCCCUAGUUCAUAUUUUUCCCAUUGAGGCAGCAUGUUUAAGAACAUUUACGAAUGUAAAAAGUAGAUAUAGCAUUAAUGCGAAGAAUUUACAAUGAAAGAGCAAUAAACAAGACAUUCAAGUAAGAACUUCUAUACACGAACAAUAUUCUAUUACAUUUCGGCUUUCUAAUUCUUUUGCUAAUGCCAGCAUUCCAUCUGUUCACAUUCCUUUGCAAGUGUCCUUCCCAAAUACUCAGUGCCCCCAAAUCUUCCAAACUGCAGUAAUUCUCUGACUCUUUGCAUUGUUUCUUUGAGACAAUAAUGAGGAUAAGACAUCUUAUUGACCUAACAAGAUAUAUUGAGGUAGAAACUAUUAAAGUUGUUGGACAGCGCAAUCGGAUUCUUAGUUUGAAACUUAAUUGCAAACAAAUCAUUAAAAAAACAUGUAAGACAUUAAGAAUGAAUUAAGAAUCAAGAUCAAGAAGUCAUAUCAACUUUUAAGUUGAAAGAUGCGUACUCCACUCACUUGGGCAUCUUCCUCCCAAUUGAGACAAUGCAGCUACCACAUGGGAGUUCAAGCCUCAUAACAGUUUUUCAUUCUGCUCAAUAUUUAUACCAUGUUAGAAACUAUUAUGCCAUAGCAUGUAUAACUGCUACAAGCACUAGCAUAUAAAAAGCAGCACACCACGUAUCCAUGUUAAGUAAAGAAAACUAGAUUGGUAAGAUAACAUUCAUUAUGUAUUAUGUAAAAUCAAACUCUCUUCCAAGCAAAACAUAGUCCGUGAAAUGGAUGACGAUUAAUAAAUUUGUAGAAGUCUCAAAGAAAGAAAUACAGCCGCAUCAACCAAAUUCGCAGCCAUCGUACUCAUGACCAAACAACAAUAGCUUAAUGACAUAACUGACCCUUUCACCCACAAGCAUAAUUAAAGCACUAACAAAUUCCAUCAUCUAGGAAUCACCUAAACCACAACCGUUUUAAUUUGACUAAACUGAACAUAUUUUUGAUACAAUAUUUAAAAUAAACUAUUAAUUUGAUGAAAAUGAGCAUGUCAUGACUGUUUUUUUUUUUUUUACCCCAUCUGCUUGGAGUGUAGAUCCACACAAUAAGCUUGACCUUUGUAAAUGCUACGCUAAAAUUUCUAAUUGACAUUUGAAGCAUUUUCAAUCAUUAAUGAUAAUAUCAACAGAAGGUGACAAUUUCCUAGAGAGAGAGAGAGAGAGAGAGAGAGAGAGAGAGAGAGAGAGAGAGAGAGAGAGAGAGAGAGAGAGAGAGAGAGAGAGAGAGAGAGAGAGAGAGUAAUUUCUUCACAAUAAAAUUAAUAGAAGAAGAGGGAAGAUAGAGAAUGCACAGUAACCAGGAAAUGUAAUCAAAAUAUGUGAAUUGAGGUAAAGUGUCGUGACAAUACAAGAUAACUGAGAGGGAAGUCAGUCGCUUGAUAUGGGAUUUCUUUGGGCUGGUAGGUCAUCAAAAGUGAUGGAAAUCUAUACUUAUUUGGUGGCCUCCAAUCCUCUAUCUCAAUCCAAAAAUAGAUCUUAUUGUCCACUUUGGAACCCCAAGGUGGAGUGUAUCCAUAUAAGCUUACUUCAGGUGAGGAUCACAAGUGUACUAGUAUCUACAACUUAGAAUCUCAACAUAAACCAUUCAAGGGUUGGCUCAAGUGCUAUAGUGCACUCAACAUGUUCUCCAAAUCCAGAAGACAAUAUGAGGCGUGGAGCAUUCAUAUGUUUCUAGAAAAAAAAUGCCUCUUUUCUAGACUUUUCCAUUAAGAAUAGAUAGCACGAAUUGCCAAGGCUAGCCAUCUAAUCCUAAGCUCUUACAAAUUCGAAUUACCAAUGGAUAAAGUCACGUAAGAACUUAAGAUACAACAACCUCUACAAUCUUAGUCUAUGCGCUUUUGAAUUUGACAUAGCUAGUAUAUCAAGCAUAAAUGACAUCCCUUCCAGUUCAAUUUCUUUAUUUUCAUGGACACUUUAACUGGUGGGCCCAUAAGGAUGAUAGCAUGCACACACCCUUUACCAUUCCAAAGAUGCAUUGACAGUGUUUGGAGAAGUUCAAGAAACAUUGAGCUCCUCAUCCUUUGAUGAUUUUGUUUCCUUUUAGAAGUGCCUUGCAAAAGCUCUCUCGGACAUUUCAGCACUUACAUCAACCAAUGGCAUGAUAACUAAAACGUGCCAAUGAGUUAGAUGAAAUCAAUCCACCAACUAACAUCAAUGAACUACUAAUAAUGCUAAGACGUUUGCGGGUCUCUAUUUGUCAAACUCGAUAUUCUUUUUGAACUCUUUGGCUUUAACUAAUAGGGUAGCUAACAUCAUCAACCACAAAAGCUUUGAUCAAAUUAGCAUAGUGCAUCCAGCUCAAGAUGCUUGCUUUUGGGGGACAUAGGAUGAUUAUUUUUCUUAUCAUUAUGUACUACUCAUGCAUUAGAAUUAAUGCAAGACAGAUUUCAAAUGGCAUAUAGGAUACUAAAAGUUUCCUCAGGAAACUUAUGCAAAUGCUUCCCAUGUUUUAUUUUUCAGCAAGUAAAUGAACUAAGAAGAGCUUAUGCACUAUAUAAGGAAUUAUUUCACAGUACAUCCAAUUAUGUCAAAAGACAUUCGAGUAAUGUCUUGCUUGGCCCAAAAGUUCAGGUAUCUGACAGAUGGCUUUAGCAACAGUACAAACAUCAAGGUGCAUUCUUUGGGAUAAUCUAUAAUUAGCCUUGGAGUAGGUAUAUCUCGGAUUCAAACGAAAUGAACAUGGAUCCCUGGUCCAAAAAAUUCGAAUCGCAAUUUUCUCAAUAGAACCAAAUAAUUCAUGAUGCUUUUGCUUCUGUCGUAUUUACUAGUUUGCUCACGACCACACCAUUAGGAGAAGAGCUUGUUAUUGGAUUUAGCAUUUCUAGAUUGACACAAGCACUUUAAUCAGCUAAUGUAGAUAAAUUUAUGAGAUAAAUUGUGUUGAACUCAAUGGCUAAACCUUUACCAAAAAAAAAAAACUCAAUGGCUGAACAAGUCUUAUCCCAAGUCAGUAGACUAUGCAUAGUAAGGGAUGCCCUAUCAACAUGCUCCUUUUGCAUUGUAAAUUCACCCUUAAGUGUACCUUUGAAACAUGCAGUCAUGAAUUGCCUAGUGAGCGGAGAGCAAACUAAAACCUCAUAUUAGAAGGAUCGUCAUAUAGGGUCCUUCAUUUAGCAUUUUCUUCGACCUAUACAAUGCCUUUGUCAUGUUAUCAAAAUACUUGUACACAUCUAUUUUUAUUCAGUAAUUCCAGCAUUCUAAAAUCAAUCAAACAUUGAGAAUCUUUAAUUUCCUACAUAGGAUGAAGGAUCUUACCCAAAGACUAAUGACAAAUGAUGCACUUAGAAAGCCUCUUCAUCUAUUCCCCUUUCUAGCAUGAUCAGAUGAAUCAUUUUGCCAAAGCACACAUCAACGUUCAUGGACAUCUCCACCAAAUUCCUUGAAUUCAAGUAAGAAAACAACGAGGAAUUGUCAUCCGGGAAAUAAUAAUGGCGAGAUCAUAAAUCUUGAAAGAUAUUGCGAGCAAGAAAUACAAAUGAAAUUGGGCAGUAGAUCUCAAAAGAAUAAAGGUAAUUUACCUGUUCUAUAUACCUUUGAUAGUAAAUGGGGAUCAUUUCCAUCCUAUUGACUCAUCCGAGUUAUCCGUAUACUCUAAUACAAUUUGUAUCGUUUUUCUAUCUUCAAUCUCAUAUUAUUGAUAAAUCCGAGUUCUAGAUAAUUUUGGAAUUGUUUUGAGUGACUUGCAUCUAAUGAUAUUCAGAUAUUCGAAAAACUCCAACCUAUUGAGGCCUUGAAUUUCGACCAAUUUUUUGCAUUCAUUGGCCUUCAAUAUCUUCAGACUCUUGGAUUUUGGAAGGAGAGCCUUUCAAUUGAAUUGCACCUAGAGAUAUCUAGUCUUUCCAAGAACUCCAACCUAUCGAGGCCUUGAAUUUUGGCUAAUUUCUUGCACGAAUUAACAAAUAAUAUCAUUAGACUUCCGGAAUUGGGAAGGUAUAGCCUUUCCAUUGAAGUGCACUCUUUGAUAUAUAGCCAUUACAAAUACUCUAACCUAUCAAGACCUUGAAUUUCGGCUAAUUUCUUGCACGAAUUAGCAUCUAAUAUGUGGAUAGAAUAGCUUUGUUUACUAAUUUUUCAUUAGAUGGUACCUCUCUACUCUAGUUCUUUCAACAUGUUUCUUCAAAAGGUUCUCUGAUUUUUCACAUGUAAGGAACGCAAGGUAUAUCAUUCAAAGAGCGGGCUCGGAUUAUGUGCUUGUUUUGCAUUAGCAUUACAACCACGUUGAUUGAGUGCUAUGUAUUGAGUCUUGCCUAUUUGCUGCCUUCCACAAGCAAUACAACUGCUUUUUGGAACGCAUACACUGUUAAAUUAUGAUACUAAGUUCCCUCAAUAUCCUCCAUUCGUUCAGAUUGUUAGUUUAAUAAUGAUGUUGAGUUACAAACAUAGUUUUAUAAUUACUAAAACAGUAGUAGAAGCAAAUUUUAUAAGACUACACAACAGGGGUUUAGCCAAAGGUGUUAUGAGUGAUAGACACAAAUCGCCUUCUAUUACUUUCCUAGGCAAAAGAACGCUUCAAGUGCCAUAACUUUGCACAAAGGGACACUUAAGUGCCAUAACUUACAAAAGAUACACUUAAGUGCCACAUUUUAAGAAAAGUGGGACACCUGAGUGCCAUCUCCACCUAAGCUGGACGGAAAUCAUACAUGGCAUUAAAAUAUUAAUAUUUCCCGCCGAUGUGUCUCGUCGGAGAGCUGAGUCAGCUCGACUUCACCCCAAACGACGUCGUUUUAGCUGUUGGCCCAAAAUAGAGCCCUUAAAUCAGCGAAAAUGCCGUCGUCUCCCCAUUUGCCCUAAAUCUAAAACCCUAAAUCGGGUAAAAUGCCAUUGAAGCGCUGGAGCCCUAAUCUCGCACCCUAAUUCAAUUUGCCCCAAAUUCUACCACCGAAUAUUGGAAAUGGAGAGCAGGACUUUCAGCGGUAACUCAAAUUUCUCUCGCCAAAGCAAAGGAGAAGGCGAGCGUUUCUGUUUUUGUGGGUUACCAAGUCCAAGAAGAACAUCAUGAACUCGAACGAAUCCCGGGAGAAGAUUCUAUGGAUGUGCUCGAUACAGAGAAUGCUCGAAAUGCAAAUAUUUCAAAUGGUUCAAUGUGAAAUUCUCUCACCGAGCCAUAGAGGUGAUAUUGGACCUACUUGAUGGAUGUUAUCAACCUCCAUCUAUACUUGUGGGCGACUUGGACAAUGUUGACUCAAUGCAAGCUCAAGUUCAAGCUCAAGCUCAAGCUCAAGCAUCUUCUAUUAACCAUUUGAAGAACAGAGUUUCAAAAAUGAAAAAUUGAACGAAAGUGUUACCAAGCAUUUAUUGUGUUGCUGUUUUUUUGUCUAUCCUACUUUAUGAUGAAAUGUAAAGUACUAGAAGAUGAGAAGAAGUUUCUUUGACUGUCAUAGUUGUAAAUAUGUGGAGAAAUGUACUUGUUUUGAAUGAAUGAAUGAAUGAUUUCGACAAAUACUGUUUGUACAAUGUUUUUGCUUAUUCUCAAAUAUAAAUCGGUGAUGAUGGAAUGUAUAUUAGGUCGAUGUGUUGUGGUGACUAUUUUACUUAGAUUGAAUGUAAACCAGCAGCGAAUGUGUAAACCAGUAGCAAAUAUAUAAACCAACAACUUCUCUAUUUUGCUACAAACCACCAUAUACAUGGAACAGACACGAGUGAUUAUUCGAGUGCUAUAAGUUGUAUCUAGUGAUCACUUAAGUGCCAGUCGUGAUAAAAAAAAGAGUCAUUCAAGUGUCAAGUUAUUAUUAAAAGGAUCAUUUAAGUGCCAUUUGUUGUUAAAAGUGAACACUUAAGUGCUAGGUUUUUUAGAAUGUGAUCAUUUAAGUGCCAUUUUUUUGUACACAUCAGCUACUACCAGCCACCACCACCGCCCACCACUGGCAUUAGCCUCCAACCAUCAUCACCACCAUCCACACCAAGCAUAUCAGGCAUCCACUUGAGCCACCACCAGCCACCACUAUGGUGGUGGUAUGUUGCUGCAUAAGUUGCUAGUGUAAGGUGUCUUACACCAGCUUGCACCAGUACUACCUGGUGCAAGCUGUGCAUAUUGCACACUUACAUCUUGCACCAGGUGUAGCAAAAACUUCCAACCCAACCCACCACCAUCAGGCUUCACGAGCCGCCACCACCAGCCACACGAGCACCCCAGUCACCACCACAUAUCCACCACCAGAAGCAGUAAUAAGUAAAAGUAAAAACAAAAUCAAAAAAAUGAAAAAGGCAAGCCAAAAAUGUCAAGCAACAACCAUUCCAUUGAUUUUGAAAUGAAGUCUCACAAACUCAAUAACAAAUGAAAUCUCACAAACUCAACUAACUCAAUAACAAACUAUUAUAAAAAAGAAAAAAACAAAUAUUUAUAGAUGUUUACAACUGACUCCUCAGCCCCACAAACCAUAUCACAUUCCAUUUCAUCAAUCAAUAUGCACAAUGCCUCCUAUUCGUGCUCGUUUUGAUGGACCUCGCACUUGAUUCAUAAUCCUUGCACUUUUUCUAACUGGACGUGAGACUUCUUCUUCAACUGUCUUGGGAUACGUUGAUUCUGAUAGAGUUGCAAUUGUCCUAGGCUGAACUGAUUCAGAAGGAGCUGCAACUAUAUAGGCUAAACUGAUUCAGAUGAACCUGCAACUGGGUUCUUCUUACUCUUCUUUCUUGUUGGCGCAUGCAUUGUCUUCUUCUUUGUUGGUGCAACCAUUGAUUUUUGAGUUGGGCCUUGAGAGAUAAGAACCUCUUAACUUCUCCCAAGCUUCAAAAGAAAACUUAAUUAUCAACAAAAGUUUGCACUAUAAAUUUAAUUAAAUAUAGCCUAUAAAACUUACAUUAAGAAUAACUGUUCCAGAGUACUCAUCUGUAUAAAGGCCAUAACCAUAUUGUUUUAGCCUCUUCCCAAGAGCCCUUCUUGUUCAAAGGGGAGCGUCACUUUCAGGUACUUGUGAUUUAUUGCCGCUUCUUCUCGCAUGUGAUUUAUUGGGCUCUUGUCGUUAUUCAACUACAGCAGGGGCUUCUUCGGCCAAUUUUUCAGCUAGGCGUCUUGUAGAUGGCCUUCUUGUAGGUGGCUCUUGAUUUGGCUUUCUUCUAGUUGCUUUUCUAGUUAGGCCUUCAGCUUUAGUGACACCUUCGGUUGGCUUUGGCGGUAGCCCUUUUGUUGACCCUUCUAGUGGCCUUUGUGAUGACCUUGGUGUGGAUUUUAUGGUGGCCCUUCAGCUGGGCCCUCUAUUGGCAGCUGAGCUCUAGCUUGCCUUCUUCGAACCUGAUAAAAAUGCAAAGGACAUCAUAAAUAUAAUAUCAUGCCAUAUUAGAACGUAAAUGAAAAGUAAACUCAAAUCAUUGAACUUACUAGGUAUUUUUUUCUCUGUUGCUACUGAAGAACAGUUGACUUAACUGGCCCUCUUUCUUCAGCCAAUCCUACAGCUGGCUGUCUUCUACCUUCCCUUCUUUGAAUAGGCCCUUCAGUUUCAGGUAUAGCAAGGGCUUCGGCCAAUUCUUCAUGUGUCACGGUGACCUAACAAAGACAAAAACAUUACAUACAUGUUACGAAUAUAUAUACAUAAACAACAACUAUCAUGACUUACUGGGUUUAUUAUCGUUGACUCACUUCGCCUUUCUGUUUCUCCUUCUCCAACUGUCCCUUCAUUAGGCUCUUCGGUUGGCCUCAAUUGUUCCCGCUGCUUCUUUAAUUGACAACUCUUAAUAUUGUGCCCUACCAUGUGGCAAAAAGAGCACUUUAUCAGUACACCUGUCCUAUUCAUCCUACGGUGACAUGAGUCCUCUCCUUCCGUUAUUUUUUGUUUUCGCUUUGGUCUUCCCAUUCUCUUCUUCAGUGGCAAAGAUUGAGGUGCUUCGUGAUAUGUUUGCUCCCAGAACUUGCUACUUCUAAUUGGCUGCAACAUGAAUUGAUACGAAGCAAGAUAUUUUGGUUUUUUGUACCAAUCAUCAAGGUGGUCUUCUGUGUUGUGGCCCUUCAAUUAAAUUGCACAUAUGGCAUGUGCAUAAGGAAUUCUACUUAGUUGCCACGCUCUAUAUGAACACUUCAUCGUACCUAAAUGGACAACAUACUUAUCGGAACCCUUCAUUAUCUCAUAUCAUUCAUCCCCAUUCCAAAUGGGAUGACAAUAUCUACUUGCAACCAAUUUGUCAUCCAAUUUCUUAGCAAUCCUAGGGCCAUAUUGCUUAGUCCACUUUGCAGUCUCAUCUCUUUGUUUGUGCCGCCGAAUCAUGACCAAAACCCGUAUGUCUUCAAGCAUCGAGAUAAUUGGUUUGUAUCUGGCAUCUAUUAUCCUCCCAUUGAAUGCUUCGCAGAUGCUGUUAUCAAUGUUAUCGCACUUGAAUUCCUCACUAAAGAACGCCCUACACCAAUGCUUCGGGUCUGUUUGGGACAGUGCAUCAUAACCAUCCUUUGUCAAUUGAAGCAUCCCUUCUUUGGUCAUCCUAAAGUCAGCCAUAUUCGUGCUAUUUGCUAGCUGCCAAAAUUGCGACUGCAACUUGUCCCCUUUAUAGGUCUUUGCCCAAUUUGCAUAUAUGUGCCGCGCACAUAUUCGAUGUUCAACAUAAGGCAAUAACUCAGCUAUUGCUGGAACCAGUCCCUGCAAUAAUUCAAAAUAUAACAAAUGUAAGCAAAUGACAUGUUGAUAUCAAAAAGCAAACAACUAACCAAUUUUUUUAAAAAGCAAACAUUACCUUUUGUUGGUCACUCAUGAACGCCCAUCUUGCCCCAUUUGUUAUCUCCAAAUCAGUCAUCAAAUUUUUGAGGAACCAGGAUCAAUUGUCCUUGUUCUCUACCUUCACAAUAGCCCAAGCCAGGGGAAACAUUUAGUUGUUUGCAUCUCUUCCAAUUACGGCCAGCAAUUCUCCCUUGCACAAGCCCUUCAAAAAAUACCCGUCCAAUCCUAUAAUCCGUCUACAAUUAGAUAAAAAUCCUCAUUUGCAUGCAUCGAAGCAAACAUAGAAUUUAUUGAACUUCAUCCCAAUAUCAGGAAGUGGUCUCUCCACGACCUCUAUAUACACUCUACUUCCAGGAUUUUGCAACCUACACUCCCAAGCAUAGUCCCACAACUGUCCAUAUUCACCACUGUACUGACCAAUGAGUAUUUUCAUCACAUUUUGCUUUGAUCUUUUACAUUGAUUCUUGGAUAUUAGGGGUGAUCGGGUUCAAGGUGGGUAGGGUCUAGACCUGGACCCUGUACCCGACCAUGUUAUAACCGAUUCUCUUUUUUUAGACCCUGUACCCGACCCUGUUUGCAUUGGACCCUAUUCCCGACCCACCCUGUUUUUCCGGUCCGGGAACAGGGUUAACCCUGUUUAUAUUGGAACCUAUUUUGCAUAAAAAUUGCCAUACAUCACUUAUAUGUAAGAUAAAGCAUUUACAAUCUAGAUCAGCAUAAGCACAUCCAUUAUUGUAGCAAACAAUUAUACCAUAUGAAACAAAAACUUAUAUACACUGGAUUUCUGAUAUAGUUCAUGAAACUGUAAUACUAUGCUGCCACAUUUUAAUCCCCACGCGAGCCACUGGAACUAGCAGAAAAUUUCUUACCACUGUAUUUCUGCAAAAUAAAUAAGAUCGUAGCCAUUACUUGAAAGGCAAUUAUACUAGUAGUAAAAGUUGCAGAAACCAGAACAAACUAGUGGGCAAAUUGAUUUGCAUAGCAAUAUGAAGGAUUGGUAUUUAAACAAAUGGACCAUAUCAAAGCAUCCAAAUGAGUUUUUACCACAAACCUCUGUAAACCAUUUGUAAACUAUCUCUAUUGCAUAGUUCAUAAGAAUAAUACAUAUACCGGCACCACAAAGAGAUCUCACUUGCUUCCCAAUGCUGAAUGGUUUAUACUUGUACUUGAUCAUGUGUGCAAUUUGACGUCUCAUUGUCAUGAUGAAAAGCAAGAGCUAGUAAAAGAGCAAGAUGGACAAGAAUGUUACCUUCUUGUGCUAGAGGCCAGACAAUGAAUCAAUAGGACUAGCGAUGACGCGAUGGGGAGCUGGAUCUGGCGACGGAGCUCGGGAGGGGAGCUUGGAGUAAGGCUGGCGAGCAGCCAGGAACCGGGUUGACAGAUGCGGACUUCAAUCAACUUCUUCUACUUAGCCUAAAUGUCAUUUUUGUGACAUCUUGAAAUUCGACCCCGUUUCGAUAAAGUGAAAUGGGCAUUUCGUUGACGUGCCUAUGGCCCUUUUUCUCUGAGCUGAUCACUCACGAGUUAACUAACCUAUUGGGUGAAGCCGUUAAGGGAUGUAUCAGCUGUAAAAUCCCUAAAAGCUACCUAAUUGGUUGGAUUGAGCUAAAAUCACGUCUAAUCGAUUUUUAACCACGAAAUUGAACUCGAUUCGGAAUCGGNNNNNNNNNNNNNNNNNNNNNNNNNNNNNNNNNNNNNNNNNNNNNNNNNNNNNNNNNNNNNNNNNNNNNNNNNNNNNNNNNNNNNNNNNNNNNNNNNNNNAGUGCGCCCCUAUUCAGCACUCCCCCGCGUUCCCCUCGCCCUUCGCCGGCCUCCCCUCGCCGCCCUAGCCGCCGGAGCAGCCUCGGCCAGCCCCGUCCAGUAGACCCACGAAGUGAGUAUCCAGCACUUUCGGGCUCGUUUUGGGCCGUUUCCGAGCCCCGAACCCGAGCCGUGCUUUGGGAAGUUUUGUUCCUCGCGUCGCCGCUGUCGGAUUGAUCCGAUUUGCGCGCGAUUUGGUGAGUAAUCUCACUAAUCCAGGAUUAGUUGGCUAAUUGUGUUUAAGGUUGGUUUAGAUUUAAUUAAUUAUGUUUAGGUUGUUAGAUUAGAAUAAAUUAGCAAUUAUUAGCCAAUUGUGAUGCGAAUUAGAUAAAUUGAAUGUGUAAUUAGCAAGUAGACAUGGUCUAUUAUUGGAAGUGCCUCGGGAUUUUUCCCGACCCUUAGUGGGCUCCAAUUAGGCUUUUCGGGCCUAAAUGGAAUUUUUUAGUAUUUAAAUAUUAAUUUUCGGAAUUAAAUUAAAUAAUUAUUUAUUUUUCGAAAAUUCAACUGAGAUGGCCUGGAACCGGAAAAUUAUGCUGAUGACCGUGGUGAAGUAUGUUUAUUUAAUCGGGCUUUAUUUUGAGCUAAAUUGAAUUUUUAAUAUUAAUUAUUUAAUUUUCGAAAUUAAUAAAUUAUUUAUUUAUUUUUCGGAAAUUAAGAUUUUGAUGGCCGACGACCGAAAUCUCGUGCUGAUCAUCGUGGCACAGUCCAUUUAUUUAUUUGAGGUCCACGUUGCAUGGAAUUGAAUAAAUUGUGAUAUUUUAGGGAUUUACCCUAAAUUGAUUGGAAUUGAUUGAGAUUGAAUUGUUGAUUGGUAAAUGGCCAAGUAUGUUAUUCAGUAUUUAUAAUGCUUUGUUGAGUUGAUUUAAUUAUUUGAUUGAGAAAUCGUUGGCAUUGGUUGUCGGUAUUGAAAGUAAAUUGAUAACCAUUUGAAAGAGGACACGUGGGCUCGGUGAAUUGAAAUGUCACCUAGAGAAUGCACGUGAGUUCAGUGGUUGAAUGUGUCACCUUGGCGAAAAGGUCGCCUGAGAGAAUGCACGUGGCUCGGUGACAGAGUUUGGCAUCUAAAAGCGCACGUGGCUCGGUGAAUUGAUGCAUCACUUUGGUGAGAUAGCACCUAAGAGAAUGCACGUGGGCCCAGGCAUCUAAAAGGACACGUGGCUCAGUGAUCUGAUGCGUCACUUUGGUAAGCGAGUACCUUAGAGAAUGCAUGUGGGUCUAGUAUUUGGAAUGGCAUCUAAAAGGGCACGUGGUCGGUGAUCUGAUGCGUCACUUUGGUAAGCGAGUACCUUAGAGAAUGCGCGUGGGCCCGGGCAUCGUAAAAAGGACACGUGGCUCGGUGGCUUGAUGUACCACCUUGGCGAAGAGGUCGCCUUAGAGAAUGCACGUGGGUCCGAAGUUUGAGGCACGUGGCUCGGAGACUUGGAAGGUCGUCUUGGAGAAUGCACGUGGCCUAGCUUUUAAAUAUCCCAUAGUGGGGAUUGAAUUGUAUGACAUGUAAUCGACUAGUUCGAUUUGUUUGAAGUGAAUGGGUGUUUAUUGUGAAUUAUACUGACUUGCAGAUGAGAUCUGAGGCCAAGGUAAGUCCUUUGCUCUGUGCAUGUUUAGGCAGCCUUUAGUAUAAUAAUUUACUAAUCGGGCUUAGUGGGGUACAAUUCGCUGAGACGUAGUUUCAUCCCAGUUUGGGGAAACCAUUUCAGGACCCCGUUGAAGAGCUGAGGAGGAGGAAUCCGAGAAGGAGAACUCGGAGGCGAAUCUUAAGGAGAAAGAUUUUUGGAAGAAGAAGACAAUCCUGAGAGGGGCCUUGAGUACGGCCCAGUUCGUCUAAGUUUCCGUCUUCUUUUGAGAUCUCCUUUUUGAUGUGAAUAGUUAUGAAGUGAUUUGUGGUUUGUAUAAAAGUUUGGUUAUAAAUUUCAAUAUGAAAAAUAUGGCCCUGCUUUUCUA
This 59027-nucleotide long non-coding RNA is filed under the name Eucalyptus grandis. Its description in RNAcentral is "long non-coding RNA (EGRA_LNC006753)". The record is from RNAcentral. Lineage: Eukaryota; Viridiplantae; Streptophyta; Magnoliopsida; Myrtales; Myrtaceae.